UGAUGAGUAGGUGACAUUUAAGAUGCCAACAAACAUUAUGAUCAAUAUAAUAUGGGAUGGCCGGUUCUUGGAGACACUACUAAUAAAAGUCAAUGCAUAGAGAAAAAGGGUAUCUUUAUACUAUAAGUUACUUCAAUUUAUUGAUAGUUUUUGGAAGCCUCGGUUUUAAUUCAUCUUAUGUUACUUUUACUUAUUUUUCGGAUGACAUUUAAUUCUUUCUCUUCAAGUAAUGUAUGGUAAAGGUGACAAAGAGGAUGGAUGCAGCUACAUCCGUUUAAUCAACACUUCAACACUUUUCUCCCGUUUCAUCAUUUAACUAAUUUUUUUAGAAGACUUCACAUUAAACCCUACUCUUAAACCAUAUUUGAACCAUCAACCUGUUAUUGAAAUUUCCCCAUUAACCUAUCUAUCCGGAUUCACAGAGUACAAUAUAUCUUUAUUUGUAAUAGGAUUAGAAUACAAAAUUUGUUUACAUGGAGUGUUUCCUGUGUUAAUUAUGUCCCCAAGGUUAAUUUAAGAUGGGGAACACCCGAACAUCACCAAAAAAGUGGCUUUCCAUUGUCAAUUCUACCAUUUAUUUCCCUUUUCACCAUCCUUGUUGUCAUCGCUAAUACUAAUCGUUUUUUUUUUACUGAAUGGUAUGUUGCGAUGCAAGCUGAGUCACAAUUGGUGCCCUCCUAUAUGCUGGUUAACAUUGGUGGAGUAUUCCACAAGCUGGAUUCUAUUUUUACAAAGUGUUGCAUGUGCCAAGGGAUGCCAAAUUUACACUAAAAGCAAUAUGAUGGGGUUGUAAGAUACCUUGAGGCUUGAACUGAACGUACUUAACUAUUACAUUACUGGUUUUAAUUUGGAGGUUCAUGGUUUCUUUUGACUAUAAAUAGAGAGACAGGGAGUGUCAAUAAGCACCAAUUCAAUAUAUAGAUAAGAUAACAAUUGAGUAUAACUUUUUACAACAUAGCAGUUCAAAAUUUUUCGAGUUUCUUCUAGUCUGGGCUGCAAUGGCUCAGUCGAUGGUUUGUCAUGUUAUGUUAGUUGUGAUAUUCAUACUGGUGGCUCUUGCUGAGGCACAAACUCCACCAGGAAUUAACAACCCUAGCCAUGCAACUUGUAAGGACCCGAGUUACAAAGAAUGUCAUAAUUUGGUGCAUGUUUGUCCUAAGUUUUGUCCAGAUAGCUGCACUGUUAAUUGUCAAUCGUGCAAACCUGUUUGUGGUGGCGACAUUGCACCAUCACCACCAGUGUACACACCUCCAACACCAACAUUGAAACCCCCAACACCAUCGUCACCACCUCCCACCACACCUUCACCACCAACAGCGUCCACACCACCAACCUCUCCUUCUCCACCGAUAGAGCCCACACCUCCAACACCAACACCGUCAUCAUCACCACCUCCACCAACCCCUUCACCACCAACUCCCUCCUCACCACCUCCAACCACCCCUUCUCCACCAACAGAAUACACACCUACGACACCAACACCAUCCUCACCACCCCACACCACCACCCCUUCAUCACCAACAGAGUCCACACCACCAACACCAACAACAUCCAUACCACCACCCACCACCCCUUCACCACCAAUAGAGUCCACACCUCCAACAUCAACGCCAUCCACACCACCUCCCACCACCCCUUCACCACCGAUAUCCACAACUCCAACACCAACACCAUCCUCACCAACUCCCACAUCCCUUUCACCACCACCAGAGUCCACACCUACAACACCAACUUCAUCCACACCAUCUCCCACCACCCCUUCACCACCGACAUCCACAACUCCAACACCAACACCAUCCUCACCAGCUCCCACCUACCCUUCACCACCAAUAGAGUCCACACCUACAACACCAAGUCCAUCCACUCCACCUCCCACCACCCCUUCACCAACAACAGGGUCCACACCUCCAGCACAAACACCAUCCACACCACCUCCCACCACCCCUUCACCAACAACAGGGUCCACACCUCCAACACCAACACCAUCCUCACACGUGCCUCCUACAUGGUCUGCUCCACCUUCUAAAACAAAAAAAGUUAAAUGCAAAAACCAAAACUACCCAAAUUGCUACGCCUCCGAACAUGUCUGCCCUGCUUCUUGUCCUGGUCAAUGUGAAGUUGAUUGUGUUACUUGCAAGCCAGUUUGCAGUAAGUUAUUCAUAACUCUCAUUUUUCAUUUUAUUUAUAAAUACUAAAAAAAUCAUGUAUGUGAAGAUUCACAUUGACAUCAAAUUAUUGAGGUUUAAUUCCAUCAUUUACAAAUGCAUGCUUUAUGGUUAAAUAUUAGGUUAACACAACUAUCAUUUGAUCUCUAAGUGCUUCUAUAUUUGUCUUGUACAGAUUGUGAUAUGCCUGGAGCAGUGUGUCAAGAUCCUCGUUUCAUUGGUGGUGAUGGCAUCACUUUCUACUUCCAUGGAAAGAAGGAUCAAGAUUUCUGCCUUGUUGCCGAUAACAACCUCCACAUCAAUGGCCACUUCAUUGGCAAGAGAAACAGAAACAUGGGGAGAGACUUUACUUGGGUCCAAUCUAUUGGGAUUCUUUUCGACAACCACAAAGUACAACUCAGUGCGCAAAAGACUUCUUCUUGGGAUGACACCAUUGAUCGAAUCUCUGUUACAUUUGAUGGGGAAAACAUCUUUCUCCCAAAAACCGAAGGUGCCAAAUGGCAAUCUUCUACGACAUCAAUCACUAGGAUUGAUGACAACAAUCAUAUCAUUGUUGAAGUUGAAAACCUCUUCAGGAUCACAGCCAAAGUGGUUCCCAUAACAAAAGAAGAAUCAAGAAUCCAUAAGUAUGAUAUAACCAGUGACGAUUGCUUUGCCCAUCUCGAUCUGAAGUUCAAGUUCUUCUCCUUGAGUAACGAAGUGGAUGGAGUUCUUGGACAAACUUAUAGGAAUGACUAUGUGAGCAAGGUGAAGAUGGGGGUAUUAAUGUCUGUGAUGGGAGGAGAUAGUAAGUUUGUGAGUACCAAUUCAUUUGCAACUGAUUGUUCUGUUGCUAAAUUUAAGGGUAGCCAGGAAGACAGUUCUUCGUUGAACUUGCAGUUGCCAAGCUUGAGUUGCCAAAGCGGUAUAGAAGGGCGAGGCGUCGUAUGCAAGAGAUAGACUUUUCUUGUUCUUGAUAUUACAAUACUUAUAUAUUUACUAUGUCGUUUGAUGGUGUAAUAAAAAAUUAAUAAUAAAAUGAAGGAACCUUUUCCAAGAUAGCUAGACUUUUCUUGAUCUUGUUACUAAUUAUUACAAUACUUAUACAACAAUUCAAUUCCAAUUUCCAAUACAAUAUUUUUAUACACUCAAAGUAUUAAUUAAACCUAAGUAUCACAUACUCAUACUACAUACUGAUACUGUAUACAAUAAAUUCAAUUCCAAUUUCCAUUUCAUUUUACACGUACAAUACCACUUUCAUAUUCCAAUUUCAUACAAUUAAACAUAGAUUACAUCCAAAUCCAGUUUCAUACAAAUAAAUACAAAUCUAAAUACAAAAUCAAACAAUCAUGCCCAACAAAUUUCAUCAUUCAUCAUAGUAGGCAUUUUCAAAGAAUUAUAAACAUGAAAUCAAACAAGAUAUAUCAAAUUUCACAUUUUCAUACAACAAUAUCCAACCAAAAAAAAGAAUAGAAAAAAAAACUUACCUUUUUUGUGGCGGUGGGUGGUGUGGUGGCCAGAAGUAGUAAGUCGCUAAUGGGUGGAAGUGGGAAGUCGACGUGGUCACUGGAAAACAAUCAAUAUUAAGAAAAAAAAAACGGAAAAAAACCCUUACCUGUAACUAUGGUGGACGGGCGUCGCAAUAGACGUCGUCGCAGGUGGUCAAACCUCCGGUGUCGUCGGCGGUGAAGACGAGUGGCCGGAGGUACUCUGGACGGAAAUUCGUCGAGAGAGAGAGAGAGAGAGAGAGAGAGAGAGAGAGAGAGAGAGAGAGAGAGAGAGAGAGAGAGAGAGAGAGUGUUNNNNNNNNNNNNNAGAGAGAGAGAGAGAGAGAGAGAGAGAGAGAGAGAGAGAGAGAGCUUUUGGUGUGGCGCUGCAACUGAGAGAGGGUCGAACGAAGCAGAUAAGUUAAAACCCUAUACCGACGACAUGUCGUCGAUAUAGAGUUAAGUCACAAGACGUCGAAUAAUCUUUUCGUAAAUAAAAAAUAAAAUAAAUAAGAAUAUAUUUACCGAUGACAAGUCGUCGAAACUGAGUAUCACACGGAUCACUAUCAUUCUAUACCGACGACUUGUCGUCGAGAUAGCCCAUGAAAACUGACGUCGUUUCUAUUUUCUGUAAAAUGAAAUAUAAAUAAAUAAAACUACAUUUGGCGUAAGCUAUACUAUAUAGUCUACAAAAUUUUGAGGAAACCGUGUAAACACUUUUCUUUCCCGCCUAAGGUAUACCGACAACUUAUUGUUUCUGUAGGCUUUAUUGUCUUUGUAGGCCUUAUUUUUUGUAGUGACGAUUUUCAUCCGUAGUUAGUUAAACAAUUUUUUUCCUGAUUUGACAUCUCGUUGUACAUUGGUUAAUUGUAACACCGUAAAUUUCAAAACAAUUUUUUGCAUCUUAUAAAAACAUAAUUCAUUCAUUAUUUAUAAAAGCAUCAUUGUUUAAAACUCAAUUCAUAAUAUAUAUCAAUCCCAAGAUCUCNACAUAAAAAUCCCGUGUGUGUACUGAUCAAGUCGGCGCCUUUCCGUGAUCCUCACUAGUACCUGAAACACAUAACACGAAACACUGUAAGCACUAAGCUUAGUGAGUUCCCCAAAAUACCAUAUAUAACACAUAUUAGCCACUCGAGGCUAUAACUCUUUGGGUCCGUGCACCUAAACUCUGUGAACCCUCAGGUUCUAUCUCUGUGAACCUUCCGGUUCUAACUCUGUAAACAUGCACAUCAUAAAUCACAUAGAAUAAUGCGGUGCAACAAAUAACAAAUAUACAACAUACAAACACUAUAUCACACAACUCCGAUUACCUACUCAAGGUAAAGUAUAGUGAGAAGACUCACCUCGGAUAUCUCAGUAAAUCUCUGACUCGGUAAACUCUGGUCUAGCCCCUGCCUAAUCACAUGAAAUAAAUACUCUAAUUAAUACAACCCUCAGGGCUAGGCUAAUAUCUCUCUCUAUACAUCCUCCAAGACGGGUAGAAGACUAUCCUACCCUUCUGAUGACUCUAAGGUCCAAACAUUGAACAACCCUAAAAGUCAACGAAGUCAAUGGUCAACCUUAACCAAACUCGCUGAGUGCACAACUAUGACUUGGCGAGUCCACACGUUUUCUUCACUCUCCUAGUCCCCCUUCGACUUACUGAGUCAACCCUCAACUCUGCAAAUCAUCACAGAUCAAAAUUUGCGAAAUGUACCGACCCAACUAGUCGAGUCCGGCUCAUGACUCGGCGAGUACCAUCGUGCACUCUGCCCUGUAGAUUCCCUCUGACUCACCGAGUCGCUUCACCAACUCAGUGAGUCACCAACUGUGUGAUUAUCAGGAAAACCCUCGCCCUACUCACAGAGCCGGCUAUUGGACUCCGCGAGUUCAUGCCAUGCUCUAGCUGAAUUGACCUCCUGAGGUCAGAUCCGUUCCUCUAAACCAUAGAUCCAGCUAUCCCAAAGCAUUAUAAUCACGUAAAGCUAACAUCUUGGUGCUCAUGCAAAGGCUCAAAGGCCUUAUUUGAAGAUAUGACCUCUAAAAUGACAUCCAAAGCUCAUAACCCCCAUUAACACUCAUAAAGCUCAAGGGAAAAGGGCCUCUGGACCUCUUUGGGUCCAGAUCUACAGCACCAACACGAGAGGGGACCAAUUACUCCGUAUAACCAUCCUCUAAAGGGGCUAAAACCAUAAACUGAAGAAGGGUCGAAUGAAUACCUCAAAAUGAAGUCUCUAAGCCCUGGAAUCACUAGAUUAGCACCCUCUUCAGCCUCCUCUUGUCCUGGUCCUCUUCUAUUUGCAAAAACACUAGCAAUGAUCAAGAAAUGGCUCCUUUCCUCUCACAAACGCUCUAGCUCACUUAGGGUUUCUCUCUGGGGUCUGGUAGCCGCAAAUGACGGCCAUAAAGCCCAUUAAAUUGUCCCGAAACCCGAGGAAUUAGGGUUUCAUUAAACAGCGUGGACUCGCCGAGUCCAUGGGGUGACUCGCCGAGUCCAGCCAUCCCCCCGGAUAAUGAUUCGCGUCUCUACUCGGCGAGUCUACGCAUCAACUUGCCGAGUUCUUCCACAAAACUUGAAAUUCAACGAAUAAAUAUAAUACCUGAAAUUUUGGAUGUUACAUUAAUUUUGUAUGUGACUGUGAGCCUAUCACAUUAUUAGAGAAAGCAUGUAAAAACAAUAGGCUAAUGACGGAAACUAUCCGACACUUACUAGCGACGUUACUUUUUAAAAUAAAAGAUAGCCAGAAAUUGCAUACAUAUAGGUGUUUAGUGGAGAUUAUCGAUGUCAAACUAUGUUUUGGCUUAUCACUAGUUUUUUGCUAUUAGUGACGGAAUCGAAAAGCAAGGGACUAUCCUAUCACUUUUAGAUCGCUAAAUAAGACAUAUUUCGCUUCGGUCGCAAAGAUUUUCAAGGUAGUCCUUUUCUACCUUAAGCUCAUGACGCUUGUAAUUUUUUCAUUGACGCUUCUAAACUCCAUCUGAGCCAACUUUUCUUGAACUGGCAAAGGACUUACAGGCUUAAACAAUUCCUUAUUGAAAUAAUGAGUUUUCCACACCAAGAGGAAUGGGGAUUAUCUCAUAUAUAUAUAAUAAAUAAAGAUACAUAUACACCCCUCAAGUAUACAACAAUGAAUAAAAGACUAUACCAAUAAAGAGCUAAUGUAAUAUCCCCCCUAAAGUGAAAGGAGGUGCACCAAGACGAAGCAUGCGACGAAACUGCUCAAACUGUGGCCGAGGUAGACUCUUAGUGAAGAUGUCAUCGACUUGAAGCUUGGUAGGAACAAACAUAGUGACCUGUUUACCUGAAGCAACAAGCUCACGAACAAAAUGAUAGUCAAGAUCAAUAUGCUUAGCAUGAUUAUGAGCCACCCGGUUCUAGGUAAAGAAUAACGCACUUUGAUUGUCACAGAGAAGCGUGGGGAGAUCGGUGGGCAAGGCAUGUAGUUCCUGCGACAGAUGAGUGAUCCAAAUGAUCUUUGUAGACGUAUUAGUCAUGGCUCGAUAUUCGGACUCACAACUGGGGCGAGAGAUAGUAGGCUGCUUCUUCACACUACAGGACACAAGAUUACGCCCAAGGAAUAUCAAUUACCCAUAGGUGGAGCGGCGAGUCUCAAGGAAGCAAGCCCAAUCGACAUCAGAGUAGCUAACAAUCUUGACAGUCGGAGGCCAUGAGAAAGUGAGACCAAAUGAGAGGGUUCCCUUGACAUAGCAAAUAAGUCGUUCAACAACUUGAAAAUGAGCAAUCGUCAAGGCAGCAAUAAACAGACUAACUUGAUUACCAGCGUAAGAAAUAUUCGGUCUCGUAACUGUCAAAUAUUGAAUUGCACCAACCAAGGACCGAUAGCAAGUCAGAUCCUCAUAAAGAGGACUACCACUAACAAGGGAGGUUUUGGUAGCAAGGGGUAAGCAUGGGCUUGGCAUCGAGAAGACCGGUUCACGAGACGAUGUCGUGAGCAUACUUUUCUUAACUGAGAAACAAGCCUGUGGGAUGAUGAGUAGCCUCAAGCCCAAGAAAGUAGUUCAAACGCCCAAGACCCUUAAUUCGAAAUUCUGCAUGCAGCCAAGCAAUGAAUGACAACACAAUAACAUCACCCAAGCUAGUGACAAUCAAAUCAUCAACAUACACUAACAAAUACAAGAUACACGAGUCCCGAUGAAACACGAAAAGAGAGGAAUCUGCACGACUCCAGGAAAAACCAUGAUGCACUAAAAAUGAACUAAGUCGAUGAAACUACACAGGGGGGGCCUGAUUAAGACCAUAAAUAGCUUUAUUAAGCUUGCAAACAUAAUCAGGAUGACGGGCAUUCGCAAAACCUGGGGGUUGAUUCAUAAAGACAGUGUCACCCAAAUGGCCGUGGAGAAAGGUGUUAUUCAUGUCAAGUUGACGCAAAUGCUACCCGUUAACAAUCGCAAGAGUAAGAACAAUACGAACAGUAGCCACCUUGACAAAAGGACUGAAGGCGUGAGAAAAGUCAAGGCCCGAAACUUGACUGAACCCUUGAGCAACGAGAUGAGCCUUGUGACAUUCCACAGUCCCAUUGGCCCGAGAUUUGGUUCGAAAAAACCACCUACAACCCACAAUAUUAGCCUAGGUAGGAAGAGUAACAAGAGUCUACGUCUGAUUAUGAUUAAAAUCCGCCAUCUCGGAACACAUCACUUCACACCAUUUAGGAUCACGUAAAGUGUUAUCAUAGGAUGAAGGAAUAUUAGUAGAAAAGACCUGUGAAAAAAAGCCAUGAGAAGUUAAAUGUGCCAAAUCAGUACAGUACCGUGGCUUAAAAGUCUUGGCUUUAGCGUGUGUGGUCAUCGGAUGCGAAGGCGGGGGCAGACGGGAGGCCGGAGGCGUAUCGGGCUCGGAAUUAGACUCGAAGGCGGUGUCAGAAGCAGAACCAAUGGUUGGUUCCGAGUCAUACCCAAAUUGCGACUCGGACUCGGGUCCCGGUGAAGUAACAGCAAUUGACUCAGAUGCAGGAGUCGCUACUGAGAGAGAUGGCGGAUCUGACUCCAUGCACACAAUACAAGGAGGAGGAGCCGCGAGUCCUGGGGUACUUGGAGAGGCCGGGACAGCGUCAUCAGGGACUGGAAUGGGGGGAGCUGAUCAACAAGAAAUGUGUGCAAGGGUAAGGACCCAAUAGGAGCAUUUGUGUGGGUGUCACGAAACAUGAAGCACUCUUCAUCAAACUGAGCAUGAGGGGUAACAAAAACCCGUGUCGAAACUGGAUCGAGACAUAAGUAGCCUUUAUAUUUAGAGUGAUAACCCAUAAAAACACAAGGUAUGCUCUGCGGAGAAAGUUUAUGAUCCGCAUAGUCAUAGAAAUAUGGAUAGACCUGACACCCAAAAAUGCAAAAAUUCUCAUAAGAUGGCACCCGUCCAAACAAGACCUCAAAUGAGGAUUUCAUGGACAACACCUCAUGGGGAGACGAUUAAUUACAUGCACGGCAGAGCUAAAAGCAUGAGCCCAAUAAGAAAUAAUUGGAAUGUGAGCGUGAAACAUCAUGGUGAGGCCUGUCUCCACAAUGUGACGAUCUUUGUGUUCAACCCGCCCGUUUUGUUGGGGGUAUAUGUGCAUGUGAUGCGAUGAAAUAUACCAUGUUUAUGUAAUAACGCCUUUACUUUAUUAUUUAGAAAUUCCGUACCCCUAUCACUUUGAAAACCUUUAAUUUUGGUAGAGAAUUGAGUCUCUAGAAAGGCGAUAGAUAUCUCGAAAAUGCUAAAAAAAUCCGAUUUAGACUUGAGCGGGUAAAGCCAUGUAAAGCGGGAGAAAUCGUCCAUAAAGGUGACAUAAUAUCGGUAUGAUGCAACCGAAUCAACCGGGGAGGGACCCCAAAUAUCACAAUAGAUCAAAUCUAAAACAUGGCCGGCACGUUGGUCAUUAUUGUCAAAAGGUAACCGAUGAGCCUUAGCAAGUUGGCAAGCAAAACAAGUAACCAGUUUAUGUAAAAUAAAAGAAACCAACACAUGACCAAGUUUAUUAAUAUAGAAAUAACAUCAAAAGACACAUGCCCUAAACGUGAGUGCUAUAAUUCAAAAGACGCCUUGGGUCGCUUCUUAGCAAAAAAAACGCACUAGCCACCGGUUUAUUUGGAACAACAUAAAGCCCCCCAUCACACAUUCCUUGAGCCAUAACUUAUUUCGUUGCCCGAUCCUAAAUGUAAAACAAAUAGUUGGAGAAAAGCACAUCUAGGUUAUUCUCAUAUGUUAACUUGCUAAUAGACAAUAAUUUUUUAGUAAGACGAGGGACCACCAAAACAUCCCGCAAUCGAAUACCGUUGGGAAGAGAGGAAGUCCUAAUAGCAGUAAUGGGAAGAGUAUUACCAUUACCGAAAUGAACCGAGCCAUCACCAACAAAAGGUUGGGGUUUAGUGACCGAGUACGAAGAAGAAAACAUGUGGUCCGAGGGACCGAAAUCAAUAUACCAAUACGGGCCAGGUGGGGUCACACAACAAUUUGCAAAGUGGGGUCACACAACAAUUUGCAAAGAAGGCUUUGGCUAAAUUGGCUUCACUAGGAGCGGACUUAGAAGCAAAUGUCGGAAGUUGUGGACAAGCAUUAGCAAAAUGACAGUUUUGUCGGCAUAGUAGGCAAUGGGGGGGCCGGUGGCCACGACCACGACCACCACAAGGACCACCACGGCCAUCGGAGUCACCACCCCAACCCUGACUAGCAGAAACUGAGGCAGCAGCCCCGAUGGGCGCUGAUUCAGCAGUAAAGCCGACGGUGGGUGUGGAGUUCACGUAGAUGGAUUUCAUGAAGAGCUUAUGACCUUCGGUUUGAGCAAGGGGGUCCCAAAAAGUGUGAGUGAGCUGAGAGGUCUGAACUCCAAUGGAAAAAGCCUAAAAAGCGCCGCCAAGGCCAUAUAAGAUAUCAUGAUUUUUAUUAGAUUUGUCAACGGCUUGGACGAUAGCCGCAAGUUGAUCACAAAUCACCUUAAAUUUCCAUCCAUAUUCGAAGACGGUAGAGGUGCCUUUAGAAAGAAGCCGAAGUUGAUCACAAAGAUUUUGUACCAGUUCCAUGGAAGAGUUUCAUAGGCUAAUUCAAAAGCGGUCCAUAUAGCACGAACGGAAGAGAGUCCCACGACCUCAAAAAAUGCUUCUUCCGUGAGGGAGACUUGAAGAAGGAUAACGGCCCAUUGAUCCAUGACAUGCCAUUCCACAAAAGCAGGGUUCUCAACCUACUUUUCCUCAACCAAAUGGUAGGAAGGAGGGGUUGCAGAGGAGUCAUCAACGUGAGCAAGGAGAUGUUGAUAGGUGAGGAGGGGAAGGGAGGGGUUGUUGGCUUGAUAGCAUGAAAUAAUGAGUUUUCCACACCAAGAGGCAUGGGGAUAUGAGGAUAUGGAUGACGUUACACAAGGAUAUGAGGACACAUGGCAACUCCUUGUGGCUCACAUGCAAUUGAGCGACAUGCAGUCCAAAUAUGGCUAUAAAUAACGGGUCCCAACGGUUCAAACCCUCACACCUUAGAACACACCACACUCUCUUUCGAUUUUCGUGCCACGAAUUCUUGAGCGUCUCCCGAGUUCCGGAGUCCCGAAUUCUACCCUACAUUCAUGAUUUCACACAUCAAGGGUGAGUUCACAGCCCCACUUUACUAUUUUCAAACCAUUUCGGGGGGAGGGGGGAAUACAUGUUAUAAACACUCACAUUCAUAGAUAUUGCUAACUGUAUGACCUUAUUAAUAUGACUAUGCUUAGAAUAGUAGGAUGAUAUUAUGCACGGUAGAUAUUAUGUCCUACUUUUUAGGAUAAUAUUAUGCUUAGUUGUUACGUGACUCACACUGAUAGAAAACAUCAUAUCUAGUUGUUACGAUGGACAGUUUCCAGGAAACAUUGUUUCUCUAGUCAUUAUUGUAGUCAAUCUUUGUAUAAGCUUAGUACUUAAUGGUUANUAUAUAUAUAUAUAUAUAUAUAUAUAUAAGUAUCUCAUAUAAAUACAACGAAGUACAACAACGCGAUCGACCAGGGGAGGCCCCCAUAACACAAGUGUUAGAGGAGACAUGGUUCAUCCCCUAGCUGAAGAACCUUCUAUAAAAGUGAGCAGAAAAGAUAUGUAAAGAUCUAUACGGAGUGGACACCUCCACUUGCGGUUGCUAGCUACAACCCGAUGGCAGUUGGUACAAGCAUAACUUUCUAAACACUGAUGACGUCUGAUGAAACGUCGAAUUUUUGGGAGGGCGACAAAAACAGUCAUAGCUCGAUUAUAGGAAAUCAUCGUAACAUUGUUAAUCUAAUAUAUCUAAAAACUACUACUAGGAAAUAAACCUAAGAAAGUAGUGAUAGAACACGAAUCAAGUAUGUGAGUUUAGGGUAAACAACAAUGUUAACAUAAGAAACUCUACAAAACCCUUUUAAACUAUACAAAACCUGUCAACUCCCAAUCAUUAUGUUGAACUUUCAAACCACGUGUAUUCUCAAGAGAAUGAGUCCGGAAGGAGAUGGGUAAGACCCCGGUGAUGCAUCAAGAGGCUUAUGUGUUUUAUUAUUGUAUUUGCUUUCGUAUCGUAUUUGUACCUCGGAUACCUGUGUAACCUAAUUUACAUAAUAAAUAAAAAGUACCUUUUUUAUAAUAUUUGUGUACUGUUCAAUGUUAUUUCUAUCUAUGAUCCAAUAUCCUAACGUUGCACAACCCAACGCUUCCGUCGUCGGUCGGGAGUGUGACAAAAGUUGUUUGUGAAUAGUUAUGCUUGAAGCUCGUUAAACUAGUAUUCAUACCAUCGAUUUUAAGUCUUAAACUUCUAUGGAUAUUGUUCUUCCCCUAUUUCAACUUGAUACAAUUGUUUUGUGCUUUUGGUAAAGGCGAAAAGGAGAUGCAAUUUGCUUUAGCGACGAUUUGAAGACUCCUAGACACACCGUUUUUUUAACCAGACAAGAAUGGAAGUAACCUUAAAAUGCCGUUCGAUUUCAUGAGGGUGUGACCGAGGUAGUGGCAAUAAGGAGGUAGUCUUGAAUGCUUAGAGGAGUCGUUUUAAGUGGAUUGUUUACACUUAACAUACUAAAUGUUGAGAAUGAGAGCAAUCAAAGCAGUCCUUAAGCAAUAGCAAGAAAUUAAAAGACAUACAUGAUUUUUUCAAGAUGGCAUACAAAAAUUGAGCGUUUGGCACCUUUUUUUAAGUUUGAUGUAUGACAUUAAAACAUGGCAUAUGUUUGUACGUCGUAAUUUUUAUUAAUACAUGACAUAAUUUUACGACAUACAAUUAUGCCUUUUGUAAUCUUUUCUUAAGAAACUUAACAUUAUAAUUAUGACAGACUCAAGGACGGAACUGACAUAUAGCUCGUAGUAGCCUGUGAUAUGCCUUAAAUUUUUCGUAGUAGUGUAAACAAAAUUUUGAUUAUUUUUUUAUAUACAAGUGAAACUACUAAAAUUUUUUGUCCAAUUACUUGAUUAAAUAAAAAAACUAACUUAAAAAGUCAUAAUGUGUUAGCCAUUGAUUCCAUAUUUACCAAAAAUAAUUUGAGUAUAUCUCAUGUGAGAAAUUAUAUACUUUUUAAUGUAUUUGAAUCUUUAUCUAUUUUAUUUCUUAUUUACAUAUAUAUUUAUCGAAAUAUGUUAGAUAUAUAUAUAUAUAUAUAUAUAUAUAUAGAUAGAUAGAUAAGUGGGCAACGAUAUGAUAGAGCAAGUAAUAUGCGAGGUGUAUUCAACAGUUUAAAAGCAUUGAUAUUGAAAGAUAUUGUUGACAUAUUAUGUACGCUAUUUUUGCACACCAACUUGAAUUAGUGGAUGUGGUUGUAGCAAAAAACCACAAUGAUGCUGAUGAUUUCUUUAAGUAAUGAGCUUUGACGGUUAAUGUGGUGUGUGCUUCUUGUAACAUAAAAGUUAUUGUAUGGGAGAGUUACAAGGAAACGGUUCAACAAGAAAUUGGUAAUGUGAAAUUGAGAUCUAAUAAGGGUUAAUCAAGAUAUUUCUGUUGUUCAAAUCGGAGAUACAAGAUGGUCUCACGGUAUAAAACAAUAAUAAGUUUGGAAUUUUUUUUUCGGAGGUUGUCAAGGUUCUUAGUUAUAGUUAUAGUGAACAUUAGGCAUCUAGUUUACAUAACCGAAAAUCAAACGUACGGUAUUUUGUCAUAUUUCAAGACACUUGAUUUUUUUGUUUUAUUUACACUUAAUGUUGGAGAUUUUUGGUCUCACUACACUACUAGAAAACUAGGUAUCGCCAAUAGAUUUAGCGAGGGAAAUAAUCUGUCACAACCAGCCUUUUUGGCUAGGAAAUUUCAUCCUCAAGUAAGCAAGGACUAUUGUGAGACUUGUGCCAACACACUCAAGUGUUCAAUACGAGUUCCUAAGGAGCCAUAUAGUGUUAGAAUGCAAAUCUCUCCAAGAAUUGUGAAUCUCUCCCAAAUCUCUCUAAGUAUGCAAAAUCUCUCCAAGUAUAGUGAAUAUCUCCCAAAUAUCUCCAAGAAUAGUGAAUCUCUUCCAAAUCUCUCUAAGUAUGAGAAAUGUCUCCAAGUAUAGUGAAUCUCUCCUAAAUCUCUCCAAGAAUAGUGAAUCUCUCCCAAAUCUCUCUAAGUAUGCAAAAUCUCUCCAAGUAUAGUGAAUCUCUCUUAAAUCUCUCCAAGAAUAGUGAAUAUCUCCCAAAUCUCCCUAAGUAUGCGAAAUCUCUCCAAGUAUAGUGAAUCUCUCCCAAAUCUCUCCAAGUAUGUGAAAUCUCUCUCAAAUCUCUCCAAGUAUGUGAAAUCUCUCUCAAAUCUUCCUAAGCACCUUCUUCACAUGAAAACAGCUCAAAACCGAAACUGGAAACCCCAAAGGACCCUCAUUCUCCGGAAACCUCUUAGUCCGGAUACCAUUUAAGAAACCAAGAAGCUUCUCACUUUAGAAUCUCCUUUGCUUCGGAAUCUUCUUUGCUCCGGAAGAAGCCUCUUAUCUAGACAUAUUAGUUGGCUUCGGAAGACUAGUCAACUUCGCAUCUCCGAAUGUCGCGGUCCGGACUUACCUGUUUCGCACCUGACUCCGGAAGUAAGGAUUGACUUCGGAACUCGCACAACACCUCCGGAACACACAUGUUGGCCACUUCCGACCCUCGAAGAACUGACCCUCCACUCCGGAAUUCUAAGAGGAGCUUCGGAUUUCACCUUAUGACUCCGUAAUUCACCUCUUAGCUCCAGAUUUUGGACCAUUUCAGACCUUUUCUCAAUUUUGAGGUCGAGAAUCCCACCAAACUCGUGUUUUUCUUAACUAAGACCCCUAAAACCCCUAUUUAAUGCUAAAAUUAAUUAUUUUAAGCAUAUUUUUCAUAAAAAUAAAUGUUUGGGAUUUAGGAAAACCUUAUCCUAAAUCAAAAAGGACAAAGGGAUUGACUUUAUGAUUUGACGAAAUUCCUCAUUUCCUAUGCAAAUCACAGUAUCCCAUGCUUUACCCACCAAAAUAUCCAUGCAUGGACCACUAGAUUCCAAUGCACCAAAGAUUCCCUCUCUUUUUCUUACUCUAAAUCACGACAAUAGAAGAAAGAUUGGGCAAUCCAUUUCCUCUCACUCCUCUCAUUUCCUCCCAAAAGCUUAUCCCCAAGAGCAAAAUAAGGAUCUUGUUGGAAGCAAAAUUCUCAAAAUUCUUCCUGGAAAUUUAAAGUAGGUUCUCCACUCAUCUAAUACUUAUUAAUAUUUCAAGAUGAAUCCAUAUUGUUUUAUUCAUAAUAAUAUGUGAUAAUCACCUUAAAUAAAACAUUUUUCCCUAGAGAAGUCCCCCAUCUCAGCCAGGAGUUUAAGCUUGAGAUCUUCACUCCAUAACUCCAAACAUCUCUUCAACCAACUCAAGGUGAACUUCAUACCCCCACAUUUUUCAAUGUUUUAAUGUUUUUAGGGGAGAGUACAAGUCAAAUUUUGCCUAAAUUCUUAAAUGAUUGCAUAUAUAUAUGUAUGUUUGUAUGUGUGUUUGAAAUAUUAUUAAAUUAUUAUUUAGUAAUAUAUUCGUGAACGAAGGACUUCUAAAUUUCAUAAAGAACAAAUGAUACUUUGUACAAAAGAGCCUCCAACUAUUGGGUGUGUCCAACUUAAUCCCUUUAUUUCAUGUCUAGAAAUAAAAGUUAUAAUAUGGAUCUUGAUAAGUGGACACCAUUUCUAGUAAUUUUCGAAAAUGGAAACUUUGUGAACUAUAUGCAAAGUAUCGGGGGGUAUUUUAUAAAUAUUCGAUAUAAAAGUUUGCGUCAAGAAAAUAUACAAAUAGAGCCUUAUGACAGAUAUAUUUGCAUGUCAUAAGCUGCUGUCAUAAAACCUCCAAGAACAUAAAGUAAUGUUCUAUAUGUCAUAAAACAGAAAAUGCGUGUCAUAACCGGCAGUUAUAAAUUUAUACAAAUUAUAACUUGGCACUUUUUCUCUUGGCUAAAAUGACUCAAUUUUUUAAUAAACAAAAAGGAACGAACACGAACACCCAGUUAAUGAGCACGAUCAACGAUAUGGAACGAGAACGAUAUUUCUAUUCAAUAAGUACGAAUUUCAUUAUUUAUGUAACAAAUAAUGGAUGUCUAACGAUUACUCAAAAGUUGUUAAUAUUCUAGUCAGACAAAUCUCAAAAGUACCUAAAUAUAAAAAUAUCAGUGUACGUCUAAGUCCUGUAAGGAGUUAUAGCUAGAGUCUCUUGGAGAGAGAGCGAGAAUUUGUGUAUAGAUCUAUACGGGGUUGACACCCCGCACCUUCGCUGUUCGCUACAGCUAGAUAGGCCAGUCUAGGGUGACAAAUGUCUUUUCCAAACCGAGGGCGCCUGAGAAACGCCAAAACAGGCACUCCGUCAGAUUAGUAUGGUUAUAACGACUCACUAGAAUAUGUUAUAUUAACUAGAAAUUUAUUUAAGGAAAACCUCAUAAAUAAAUUUUGGCACGUUGUGUUGACUGCCGUAUACGUGAUAAGGUGAUGGUUCGCAAGUGUUGCGUUGACUGUCCUUUCUUUUCACCGUGUAGAAUGUUUAUAAUUGCCAUGUUGAUUCUUUCUCCUAACAAGUAUAGAAUCGUAAUACUGCUAUUUUACAAAUUAAAAGGCGUAGGACUCUAUACGAUUUCGAUAACGAUAAACUAGAACUUACGAAUAUUUUAUAGCAGAAAAUACAGGAUUUUCUGGAGAAAACGAUUUUCUACGAUUUCGAUAACGAUAAACCAGAACUUACGAAUAUUUUAUGGCAGAAAAUAUAGGAUUCUCUGGAGAGAACGAUUUUUCUACGAUUUCGAUAACGAUAAACUAGAACGCACACUCAAUUUUACUCGAUAAGAGGAACUAAAUUUUCAACCAUGUUUCCGUUUUGCAAAUAGGGGAUUUUUCUUGAAGCGAUUGAUUAUUAUUAUUCAAAAGAACUACUCUCAGACACAACUCACUUUCACAAAUUACAAUACUUUUCAAAGAUCACUCCUUAUAAGGAUUUUCAAGGCAAGACUUUUCAUAGAAAAUAUCUGAUUCUCUGAAAGUACAAUACAAACGAUUCUAAACAAGUGUAAACGAUUUUAUACAAAAAUGCUUAUGAACUCACCAACUUUUUAGUUGACGCUUUUCAAAACGACUUGUAUUCUCAAGGAUCUAUCUAGGUAAACAGGUAACAAGGGAUGUUGAUGCAAGACCAUUUAGCUGUAGUUUGAAGUUUUCUACUUAUGUAUCUUUUGUGUAACUCGAAGAAAAAAUACAAUAUGUAAACAAUCUAAGUUUGUUAUCUCAAUAUAUGAUGUUUAGAUUGCUCGGUGUCAUGUAUAUUCAAUUGUUAUGAUACUGCAAGUGACAUAAUCCCUCACUGAUCUACGACGGAUUUACUAGGGAUCAGCGAUGGAUCUGUUUUCUUUAUUAAUCAACAUCUUUGUGACAGAUUAGAGAGGGAUUAAUGACAUAAUAUAUCCCUCGCUAAUCGAUUGAUAAAAUUGGCUGUUGAAUUUCAUUCCCUCUAAUUCCUUCCAAUUAUUUGAUUCCCAAAUUCUCUCCUUCCCAAUUAAUUCAUUCCCCCCAAAUAACACUUUCACUUUCGUACGAAAUCUACUCUCUUCAAACAUAAAACCCCUUUACCCUAAUCAACCAAUUUUUUAAUUCCCUCCAUGCUACCAAACUCUUCCUGCUCACUCACCUUCUUGAGUACCCUAAUCACCUAGUUCCCUCCUCCGGCUUAGUUUCCUAUUCAAAGUCAAAAUUGCAACAAUGAGCAAACAUUUUCCCCUGGUGGUGUGUUCUUUACAUCCGAUCAUCGUUACAUACGCACAUUCAAACUAUUCCUUGUUACCUACACUGCUCUCUCUCUCUCUCUCUCUCUCUUCGGUAAAUUUCAUGUCCUUAUUUUUUUUGUUAUGACCAAUAAUUUACAUGCUUUCUCAACACAGGUUGUGCUUAUGUUUCAUGUCACUUGCUUAGUAUGAACUACGAACCACAAUUGAUCUUGUAAUGGGGUUUAAUCUAAUAGUGUUUCGACCUAUAUCGAUUGAAUUGGUUUUUUAGGGGUGAUUUUAUUUUAGAAUCGCAUUGUGAUGAGUAGAUGACCGAACCUUGGAAAAAAUACCCAGGUAAUGGGCUCUUUCAUUAUUUCUUCCCAAUUUUAGUUAUUGAUUUUGUUAACUACUUUUCUUAGUAAGCAACUAGUCAGGGAUUUUUGUUUUAGCAUUUUGUUUGUGUUUUGCUUAUAGAAAUGUAUGGAUUUUUGCUACUUUGUUUUCUGGGAGUUAGGUAAGGGUGUUCACAUACCAGAAACAUUUAAAGGUAAGAUAAUCUCUUACUCUAUUUUUAUUCCUUUUAUCUUACGUACAUUUUGUACAAUACGGAUUGAUUUGAUUUUGUUCAAUAUGAGAAAAACAAUUACUAGAACGGUAAUAGAGAAACCGAGGAGGAAUAAGUACACAAGAACACUGCAGUGGGGGUUUGAUUUACUAUGCAAAAAUAGAUUUGUAGAUGGCUCUUAUUGUAUAGCAUGUUCUUAUAUACAAAUGUUGUCCCUACACUAUAUCCUUAUAUUUAUUUAUUUCUUUUUUUUACUCAAGAUAUUAUAAUAAUAUAAGGAUAUGAGAUCAGUUUUAAGUUCCAUAUGUUGAUGUUUUUAUUGAAUCUAUCUGGAUUUAUAUUUUACUAUUGGAUUUGAAUAUAGGUGUUUCAUUAUAGUUCAAAUAUGCAGGGGUUACCAGUGAGUUCGUAAACAUGUACCUCAUUUUGAUUUUAUUAGUUAUAAUUCUUUCAUAUUUCCUUAUUUUCCUUGAAAUAGUUUUUGUUUCUUUAAACUGUUGGUCAUUGUUUUAAUGGUUGGUGGCAGAGCUAUUAACAAAAAUCAUGUGUUGGAUCAAUAUGGCACUUAGGUUACCAUUUUGGGUAAUAACUUAUCUUGGUUCUUAAUUGAGAAGCGAUGAGGGAUUGCCAAAGAAUGAUGUAAUGGUAAUUAAGAUAUUGUUAUUUGCUUACAUUUAAAAAAAAAUGGUAUGUUGAAGAGCAACCAAGAAUGGAGAGGGUACCUUUGGGUUUGACCUUGAUAUGAUCUCUGGAUUACAUGUUCCUAAUGAGCGGUUGAGGCGAAACCAACACUCUUAGAGUAUGAUACUAUAACCGUAGUCUAUUAUCUAAUAAAAUCAUACUUUGUUAUCGAUUUUGUAGUAUUGUCACUAGUACAAGUCACUUAAGUACUGUCGUGAAGAUUGGGAAAGCUUUAGAUAAAACAUAAAGGAAUAAAGUGUCAAUACUACAUAUAUGGAUGUCUACACAGGUAAGCGGAGUUGACUCUGCUGUGUGUAGAAAUGUAUGUUUCUAUUUAUUUAAUAAUAUGUCCUGAUGCUUAAUAAUUAAUAAUUCCUUUUCCAAGUUUAAAGUAUGUCGGUAUUAAUUGCUUAUAGCUUGUUUAUCAAGUUAAAAGUAUGUUGCUAUUAAUUGAAUGAUAUGGCAUGAUGUUUUAUUUGAUAUGAACUUGGUUAUUGUUGUUUUAUAGGUUAUUGUUGAUUGUAUUCAUAAGGAGAUGCAAGGAGAGCUUAAGGCGGAAUGCAAAUAAAUUGAGGCCAAAAAACAAGAAAUCGUCAAGAUGUACAACAUCGUAAAGCUCACCCAAGGAAAUAACCUACCCAUAAAAUUAGAUUUUGACACUUUUGGGGUUUACUAAGUUAUUUGUUUCAUCGCUAAUCCGUUGCUAUUUCAUCGCUAAACUCGUCGCUGAAUCCAUCGCUAACACUUAGCGACAAGGCUUUUUUCAACCGACAAUUUCUGUCGCUGAUAACCAGCGACAAAAUUGUCCGUCCCCGUUUCCUCAAUUUCUAGUAGUGCGGAUUCCUUGUCAAGACAUCUUCAAAGAAAGGAUCAAAAUAUUUUGGAAGCGACUUCUCUUUGGUCAAAGUGACGAUGAAAACGUUGAAAGCUUUAAUAAAUAAAGAGUUUCCAUCAAUGUUGGAGAACAUAUUUUCUUUUUGUCAUAAACAUAAAAUUAGAAAUGUGGAAAUAUCCAAAUUUUAUGUUACUCCAAGAGACUGUAGAACCAAUGUUACUAAUCAAAAUCACUUUGAAAUUGAUAUUUUCAAUACGGUUUGGAUAUACAAAUUCAAGAAUCCGAUGACCGUUUUAGUGAUUUAAGCAACGAUUUUCUAGAAUACAUGGCAGCUUUGAGUUCUUGUAAUUUAUUUUCUAUGUUUGACAAAUCAAAGUAGGUGAAGCUAAGUUGGUUGUACAAACAAAAUUUAAUGAUUCGAAAAGAGUGUAUCUUGAUGGUCAACUUGAAACCUAUGAUCACUCUUUGAUUGAUGAUGAGACUUUUUCUAACUUGAAGGGAAUUGUCGUCCUUUAUCAUUUGAUGGUGGAAACCUAAUAACAUCAUUCUUUUUCUUUGGUUCAUAGGUCAUUAAAGUUGACUUUGGUUUUGCCCUUCGCAACCUCANUAUGGCACUUAGGUUACCAUUUUGGGUAAUAACUUAUCUUGGUUCUUAAUUGAGAAGCGAUGAGGGAUUGCCAAAGAAUGAUGUACUGGUAAUUAAGAUAUUGUUAUUUGCUUACAUUUAAAAAAAAUGGUAUGUUGAAGAGCAACCAAGAAUGGAGAGGGUACCUUUGGGUUUGACCUUGAUAUGAUCUCUGGAUUACAUGUUCCUAAUGAGCGGUUGAGGCGAAACCAACACUCUUAGAGUAUGAUACUAUAACCGUAGUCUAUUAUCUAAUAAAAUCAUACUUUGUUAUCGAUUUUGUAGUAUUGUCACUAGUACAAGUCACUUAAGUACUGUCGUGAAGAUUGGGAAAGCUUUAGAUAAAACAUAAAGGAAUAAAGUGUCAAUACUACAUAUAUGGAUGUCUACACAGGUAAGCGGAGUUGACUUUGCUGUGUGUAGAAAUGUAUGUUACUAUUUAUUUAAUAAUAUGUCCUGAUGCUUAAUAAUUAAUAAUUCCUUUUCCAAGUUUAAAGUAUGUCGGUAUUAAUUGUUUAUAGCUUGUUUAUCAAGUUAAAAGUAUGUUGCUAUUAAUUGAAUGAUAUGGCAUGAUGUUUUAUUUGAUAUGAACUUGGUUAUUGUUGUUUUAUAGGUUAUUGUUGAUUGUAUUCAUAAGGAGAUGCAAGGAGAGCUUAAGGCGGAAUGCAAAUAAAUUGAGGCCAAAAAACAAGAAAUCGUCAAGAUGUACAACAUCGUAAAGCUCACCCAAGGAAAUAACCUACCCAUAAAAUUAGAUUUUGACACUUUUGGGGUUUACUAAGUAAUUUGUUUCAUCGCUAAUCCGUUGCUAUUUCAUCGCUAAACUCGUCGCUGAAUCCAUCGCUAACACUUAGCGAUAAGGCUUUUUUCAACCGACAAUUUCUGUCGCCGAUAACCAGCGACAAAAUUGUCCGUCCCCGUUUCCUCAAUUUCUAGUAGUGCGGAUUCCUUGUCAAGACAUCUUCAAAGAAAUUAUCAAAAUAUUUUGGAAGCGACUUCUCUUUGGUCAAAGUGACGAUGAAAACGUUGAAAGUUUUAAUAAAUAAAGAGUUUCCAUCAAUGUCGGAGAACAUAUUUUCUUUUUGUCAUAAACAUAAAAUUAGAAAUGUGGAAAUUCCUCGCGAGAGAGAGAGAGUGAGAAAGAGAGAGAGAGAGCUUUUGGUGUGGCGCUGCAACUGAGAGACGGUCGAACGAAGCAGAUAAGUUAAAACCUUAUACCGACGACAUGUCGUCGAUAUAGAGUUAAGUCACAAGACGUCGAAUAAUCUUUUCGUAAAUAAAAAAUAAAAUAAAUAUGAAUAUAUUUACCGACGACAAGUCAUCGAAACUGAGUAUCACACGGAUCACUAUCAUUCUAUACCGACAACUUGUCGUCGAGAUAGCCCAUGAAAACUGACGUCGUUUCUAUUUUCUGUAAAAUGAAAUAUAAAUAAAUAAAACUACAUUUGGCGUAAGCUAUACUAUAUAGUCUGCAAAUUUUUGAGGAAACCGUGUAAACACUUUUCUUUCCCGCCUAAGGUAUACUGACAACUUAUUGUCUCUGUAGGCUUUAUUGUCUUUGUAGGCCUUAUUUUUUGUAGUGACGAUUUUCAUCCGUAGUUAGUUAAACAAUUUUUUUCCUGAUUUGACAUCUCGUUGUACAUUGGUUAAUUGUAACACCGUAAAUUUCAAAACAAUUUUUUGCAUCUUAUAAAAACAUAAUUCAUUCAUUAUUUAUAAAAGCAUCAUUGUUUAAAACUCAAUUCAUAACAUAUAUCAAUCCCAAGAUCUCAUAACAUAAAAAUCCAGUGUGUGAACUGAUCAAGUCAGUGCCUUUCCGCGAUCCUCACUAGUACCUAAAACACAUAACACGAAACACUGUAAGCACAAAGCUUAGUGAGUUCCCCAAAAUACCAUAUAUAACACAUACUAGCCACUCGAGGCUAUAACUCUUUGGGUCCGUGCACCUAAACUCUGUGAACCCUCAGGUUCUAUCUCUGUGAACCUUCCGGUUCUAACUCUGUAAACAUGCACAACAUAAAACACAUAGAAUAAUGCGGUGCAACACAUAACACAUAUAUAGCAUACGAACACUGUAUCACAUAACUCAGAUUACCUACUCAAGGUAAAGUAUAGUAAGAAGACUCACCUCCGAUAUUUCAGCAAAUCUCUGACUCGGUAAACUCUGGUCUAGCCCCUGCCUAAUCACAUGAAAUAAAUACUCUAAUUAAUACAACCCUCAGGGCUAGGCUAAUCUCUCUCUCUCUCUCUCUAUAUAUAUAUAUAUAUAUAUAUAUAUAUAUAUAUAUAUAUAUAUACAUCCUCUANNNNNNNNNNNNNNNNNNNNNNNNNNNNNNNNNNNNNNNNNNNNNNNNNNNNNNNNNNNNNNNNNNNNNNNNNNNNNNNNNNNNNNNNNNNNNNNNNNNNNNNNNNNNNNNNNNNNNNNNNNNNNNNNNNNNNNNNNNNNNNNNNNNNNNNNNNNNNNNNNNNNNNNNNNNNNNNNNNNNNNNNNNNNNNNNNNNNNNNNNNNNNNNNNNNNNNNNNNNNNNNNNNNNNNNNNNNNNNNNNNNNNNNNNNNNNNNNNNNNNNNNNNNNNNNNNNNNNNNNNNNNNNNNNNNNNNNNNNNNNNNNNNNNNNNNNNNNNNCCUCUAGAUUCCCUCUGACUCACCGAGUCACUUCCCCAACUCAGUGAGUCACCAACUAUGUGAUUAUCGGGAAAACCCUCGUCCUACUCGCCGAGUCGGCUAUUGGACUCGGUGAGUUCAUGUCAUGCUCAAGCUGAACUGACCUCCUGAGGUCAGAUCCGCUCCUCUAAACCGUAGAUCUAGCUUCCCAAAGCAUUAUAAUCACGUAAAGCUAACAUCUUGGUGCUCAUGCAAAGGCUCAAAGGCCUUAUCUGAGGAUAUGACCUCUAAAAUGAAAUCCAAAGCUCAUAACCCCCAUUAACACUCAUAAAGCUCAAGGGAAAAGGGCUUAUGGACCUCUUUGGGUCCAGAUCUACAGCACCAACACGAGAGGGGACCAAUUACUCCAUAUAACCAUCCUCUAAAGGGGCUAAAAAGCCCUAACUCUAAGAAUUACACCAUAAACUGAAGAAGGGUCGAAUGAAUACCUCAAAAUGAAGUCUCUGAGCCCUGGAUUCACUGGAAUAGCACCCUCUUCAGCCACCUCUUGUCUUGGUCCUAUUCUAUUUGCAAAAACACUAGCAAUGAUUAAGAAAUGGCUCCUUUCCUCUCACAGACGCUCUAGCUCACUUAGGGUUUAUCUCUGGGGUCUGGUAGCCGCAAAUGACGGCCAUAAAGCCCCUUAAAUAGUCCCCAAACCCAAGGAAUUAGGGUUUCAUUAAACAGCGUGGACUCGCCGAGUCCAUGGGGCGACUCGCCGAGUCCAUCCAUCCACCCGGAUAAUUAUUCGCGUCUCUACUCGGCGAGUCUACGCAUCAAAUCGCCGAGUUCUUCAACAAAACUUGAAAUUCAAAAAAUAAAUAUAAUACCUGAAACUCCGGAUGUUACAAAUCUCCCCCACUUGAAACAAUCUUCGCCCUCGAAGACUCAUUCCUAAAAUAGCUCCGGAUGCUGCUCACGCAUCUCCCGCUCUGGCUCCCAAGUCAACUCGCAUCCUCUCCGAUGUUGUCAUUGAACCUGCACCAGAGGCACCUCCUUGUUCCUCAGAACCUUGAUCUUCUGAUCCACAAUCGCAACUGGUCUCUCCACGUAGUUCAGGCUCGCAUCCACCUGAAUGUCCUCUAACGGCACUACCGCCGACUCGUCGGCUAUACACUUCCUCAAUUGAGACACGUGGAAAGCAUUAUGAAUCCGCUCCACCUCCGCAGGUAGCUCCAAGCGAUACGCUACGCUGCCCACCCUCGUGAUCACUCUAAAUGGCCCAAUAUAUCGGGGCCCUAGCUUGCCCCUCUUCCUGAAUCGAAUCACUCCUUUCCAAGGAGAUACCUUCAGGAUAACAUAAUCACCGACCUGGAACUCAAGCUCGAAUCGUCGCCUAUCCGCAUAACUCUUCUGGCGACUUUGAGCGGUCAACAAUCUCUGCCUGACCUGCUGUAUCUGCUUUUUCGUCUGAAGCACAAUCUCCGUGCUACCUAUCACUCGUUGUCCCACCUCUCCCCAACAAAUGGGAGUCCGACACCUCCUCCCAUACAACAGCUCAAAGGGCGGCAUUCCAAUGCUCGAAUGAUGGCUGUUGUUGUAGGAAAACUCCGCUAAGGGCAAAUACGUGUCCCAACUUCCGCCAAAAUCCAACACACAUGCUCGGAGCAUGUCCUCGAGCGUCUGAAUCGUCCGCUCGCUCUGACAGUCAGUCUGCGGGUGGUAUGCGGUACUAAAAUGCAGCCUCGUACCCAACUCCUCAUGGAAUUUCUUCCAAAACCUGGAAGUGAAACGCACAUCUCGAUCUGACACAAUCGAGAUCGGCACCCCAUGCCGCGAUACCACCUCUCUCACAUAUACCUCUGCUAACUUCUCCGCAGAAGAACUCUCACUAAUGGCGAGAAAGUGAGCGCUCUUAGUCAAGUGGUCUACUAUCACCCAAAUCGCAUCGACACCCUCGCCGUUCUCCAUAAUUUGGUGAUAAAAUCCAUGGAUAUCUGCUCCCAUUUCCGCUCUGGGACCUCCAGUGGCUGCAACUUACCAUGCGGUCUAUGAUGUUCGGCUUUAACCCUACUACAAGUUAGGCACCUCUCAACAAACCACGCUACAUCUCUCUUUAUACAGGGCCACCAAUACACCCUUUUAAGAUCCAGAAACAUCUUAGUGGCCCCGGGAUGGAUCGAGAAUCUCGAUCUAUGCGCCUCAUCCAUCAAGAUGGUACGCGUUCCUCCACAAACGGUACCCAAAUUCGACCCUGGAAGGUCAUAAGCCCUCUGCUAUCUGUCACGAACUCUGACACCUAUCCGAUAACUCGCUCUCUCUUACGGUUCUCCAGUCUCACUGCCUCAGCCUGAGCCCCUCUGAUGGUGUCCAACAUCGGAGUCAUCGCCGUCAAUCUCAUACAAAUAUCCUGAAUCGGGGCGCUCUUUGCCCUACGAAUCAGGGCGUCGGCUACCACAUUAGCCUUGCCCGGGUGGUACAGGAUCUAACAAUCAUAAUCCUUUACUACAUCCAACCAUCUCCUCUGACACAUGUUCAGGUUUGGCUGAUCCAUCAAAUACUUCAAACUCUUGUGGUUCGUGUAUAUCGUACACCGAACCCCAUACAGAUAAUGGUGCCAAAUCUUGAGGGCGAACACCACAGCCCCCAACUCUAGAUCGUGGGCGGGAUACCUUGUCUCAUGGGGCUUCAGCUGCCUUGAUGCGUACGCGAUCACAUGCCCCCUCUGCAUCAACACCGCGCCCAACCAAGAUAUCAACGCGUCACAAUACACCACGAAGUCCUCCAUUCCCUCUGGAAGAGCCAACACCGGGGCUUCGCACAAUCUCUGGCGAAGAGUCUCAAAUGAGGCAUGCUGCUCUGGGCCCCAGCUGAACACCACACCCUUCCGGGUCAACCUGGUGAGAGGAACAGCAAUCUUGGAGAAAUCCCUGAUGAACCUCUGAUAAUAGCCGGCCAACCCUAGAAAACUCCUGAUCUCAGAAGGAGAUUUUGGCACCUCCCAACUAAUCACCACCUCGAUCUUGGCCAGAUCGACCAAAAUCCCCUUUUGGUUAAUGAGGUGACCAAGGAACUGCACCUCCCGUAACCAAAAAUCGCACUUGGAGAAUUUGGCGUAAAGCCUCUCCGAUCUCAACAUACUGAGGAUUUCUCGCAAAUGCUCCUCAUGCUGCUCCCUGGAUCUCGAAUACACCAAAAUGUCGUCAAUGAACACAAUCACUGAUCGACCAGCAUCGGUCUACAUACCCUGUUCAUGAGAUCCAUGAACGCUGCAGGCGCAUUGGUGAGCCCGAAUGGCAUCACCACGAACUUGUAAUGCCCAUAACGAGUCCUGAAUGCGGUCUUCUGGAUAUCCUCCUCGCGCACCCUCAUCUAAUGAUAUCCAGAUCUCAGAUCAAUCUUGGAAAACCAAGACGCUCCCUGCAGCUGAUCGAACAAAUCGUCGAUCCUCGGCAAAGGAUAACGGUUCUUGACCGUUAACCUGUUCAGCUCUCGAUAACCUAUGCACGUUCGGUGUGAGCCAUCCUUUUUCUUCACAAAAAGGAUUGGUGCUCCCCACGGCGAGCUGCUCGGCCGUAUAAACCCCUUCCCCAGCAGCUCCUGAAGCUGCGAGGAUAACUCCUGCAUCUCCGGAGGUGCAAGGUGAUAGGGCGCCUUGGCAAUAGGUGCUGCCCCUGGAAUCAAAUCAAUGCGAAACUCAACUUGCCUCUUGGGAGGCACACCUGGUAACUCCUCGGUAAAGACAUCUGGAAAUUCACGCACUAUCGGAACCUCCUCAACCAUACUUGGUCUCUCUGCACCAACUCUCGUAUCCAUCAAAUACGCUACAAAACCACUACAGCCCUGCUGUAGACUCUGCCUCGCUCUAGCAGCCGAACAAAACGCUGAAUCGGGGCGGGUACCCUCGCCGUACAACAUAAGAACUCCUCCACUUGGGUCUCGUAUAGCCACCAGUUGCCGCUCACAAUCGAUAACUGCUCCAAAUCUGAUCAACCUAUCCAUGCCUACGAUGACACAGACGUCCCCCAUCGCAAUCGGGACCAAAUCAAUAGGAAACUCUACACCGAAAAUCUCGAGUACACAUCCUCGAAUCACCUCUGUGGCAUACACUGCUCUCUCGUCGGCGAUGGAGACUCUCAAAGGUCGACUCAACGCCUCUCGACUAAUACUGAUGUGCUGACUAAAAACCAACAAUAUAAAAGAUCGACUCGCACCCGAGUCAAAUAACACUAAAGCAGGUACAUAAAUCACAAGAAAAGUACCUACGCAUAUCAUAAUAUAAGCAAAAAAUCUCAAACAUGAAAAUAAUUACAUGAAAGAAUACAUACCAUCCACGACAUCGGGCGCUGCGCGGACCUCUUCCGCGGUCAACUGGAAGGCUCUCCCCCGAGCCUUCAGCGUCUCGGUCUUCACCGGCCGACUAUCAGAAGCUCUAACAGCAGCAGGGGCAGACCCCUGAGGAGCUCCCUGUGAUGACCCUCGCAGUAGUGACACUCGGCCUUCCGGUGUCCGGUCUGGUUGCAAUGAAAACACACUGCAAACCCCUUGGGGCAGUCCUUGGCCAUAUGCCCCUCCUUGCCACACUUGUAGCAAGAUCCAUCUCUACAAACUCCAUCAUGACCCUUGCCGCACUUUCCACAAGUGCGGCCCUUCUGGCUCCUCGCUCUGGAAUCAGCAGGCUUGGCCUGCUUGGCUGUCGGCUGGAACUGUGCCGGUCCCCGAUCCCUCCCCUGAGACUCCGCCUCCUCCUUAGCAUGAGUCUCUAGCUCGAUCUCCCUCUUCCGGGCAUUUUCCUAAAGCUCCGCAAAUGUCCGGUACGAGGAGUUCGCGACGAAAUCCCGAAUAUCUCUCCUUAAAAUACUCAAAUAACGGCUCAUAUGUGCCUGCUCAGUAGACACGUGCUCAGGGCAGAACAUCACCCUCUCGUGAAACAUCCUAGUAAUAACCGUAACAGACUCCGUGCCCUGCUUGAGGAUCAAAAAAUCAUGUGCCAACUGAUCCCGUUCCACCGAGGGAACAUACUCAUCACGAAACAUGGCGGUGAACCUCUCCCAGGUCACCGCAGCAAGCUCUGCUGGAGAGUAGUGUGCUGUCGCGAACUUCCACCAGUCCUUCGCCCCUAGGCGAAGCUGGUUCAGCGCAAACCGAACGUUCAAGUUCUCCGGGCACGAGCAUGUAUAGAAACACCCCUCAAUAUCAGAUACCCAUCUCAUCGCUGCAAUCGGAUCCUGCGUCCCAUCAAACUCUGGUGGCUUCGUGUUGCUGAACUCCCUGAACAACAACGAGUCACCCCCUUGCGGCCUAACAGCAGCGACGGCUGCGGUGGCCGCUGCAACAGCAGCCUCAGAAAGAGCGGCAUAACGCUCGUCAAAAGUCUCAAUCAGCGUGGUCUUAAUAGACCCGAACAUCUCUGGUAUCUCUGGCCUGAUGGCCGCAGCCACCUCCUCAUGGAUGAUCCGACAGAUCUCCUCAUCACUAGUCUCGCUGCUCUCUGGCGCAUGACGUGUCCUCACCAUGAUCUACCUCUGAAAUACAACAUACGAUAUAUUAGAAACUCACUCGAGCAUACUCGCACUCGAUAACUCAUCCCUCCUUGAUCCCUGGCAUUCCGAAGAUUCUUACUUGAACUGUACACCAUCCCGGUGUUUUCAGUAGUACAGGCCCAAUACUACCGUCCACACCGCAUCAGUAUACACCCCAAGUCCUCCUCCUAGGAUCCCAAGUCCCAAGUACUCUAUUAUGCAUAAUCCACUCUCUAACAGAUCUCUCAUAAGCUCCUCACUGCUACCUACUCACUCUCAAGCAUCUCAUAGCAGCUCACCUCCCCCUAGGCUAAGGCAUCACAAAUCAGGCCACUCUAGUCCUAAUAGGAAUACCUAGCCCACUCUAGCACGAGAAUACAUCAUAUCAAUCUCAUAAGCAUAUAACAUAAGGGUAUUUUGGGAAAUCACCGUUCGGGCGCUGACUGAUCGUACACACGACUCUGCUCUGCGUUUUCCAAAAAUCUUUUACUCUUUUUAGAAAACUUGGUUCUCUUUUGAAAAUAUUUCUCAAAUCCUCAGUUUGAGUUCAAAUACGCCCGAAGGUGUACUCGAAUCCCUCAAACCAAGGCUCUGAUACCAACUUGUAACACCGUAAAUUUCAAAACAAUUUUUCGCAUCUUAUAAAAACAUAAUUCAUUCAUUAUUUAUAAAAGCAUCAUUGUUUAAAACUCAAUUCAUAACAUAUAUCAAUCCCAAGAUCUCAUAACAUAAAAAUCCCGUGUGUGUACUGAUCAAGUCGGCGCCUUUCCGCGAUCCUCACUAGUACCUGAAACACAUAACACGAAACACUAUAAGCACAAAGCUUAGUGAGUUCCCCAAAAUACCAUAUAUAACACAUACUAGCCACUCGAGGCUAUAACUCUUUGGGUCCGUGCACCUAAACUCUGUGAACCCUCAGGUUCUAUCUCUGUGAACCUUCCGGUUCUAACUCUGUAAACAUGCACAACAUAAAACACAUAGAAUAAUGCGGUGCAACACAUAACACAUAUAUAGCAUACGAACACUGUAUCACAUAACUCAGAUUACCUACUCAAGGUAAAGUAUAGUGAGAAGACUCACCUCGGAUAUCUCAGUAAAUCUCUGACUCGGUAAACUCCGGUCUAGCCCGUGCCUAAUCACAUGAAAUAAAUACUCUAAUUAAUACAACCCUCAGGGCUAGGCUAAUAUCUCUCUCUCUAUAUAUACAUCCUACAAGAAGGGUAGAAGACUAUCCUACCCUUCUGAUGACUCUAAGGUCCAAACAUUGAACAACCCUAAAAGUCAACGAAGUCAAUGGUCAACCUUAACCAAACUCGCCGAGUGCACAACUAUGACUCGGCGAGUCCACACGUUUUCUUCACUCUCCUAGUCCCCCUUCGACUUACUGAGUCAACCCUCAACUCUGCAAAUCAUCACAGAUCACAAUCUGCGAAAUGUCCCGACCCAACUAGCCGAGUCCGGCUCAUGACUUGGAGAGUACCAUCGUGCACUCUGCCCUGUAGAUUCCCUCUGACUCACCAAGUCGCUUCACCAACUCAGUGAGUCACCAACUGUGUGAUUAUCAGGAAAACCCUCGUCCUACUCACAUAGUCGGCUAUUGGACUCCGCGAGUUCAUGCCAUGCUCAAGCUAAAUUGACCUCCUGAGGUCAGAUCCACUCCUCUAAACCAUAGAUCCAGCUUCCCAAAGCAUUAUAAUCACGUAAAGCUAACAUCUUGGUGCUCAUGCAAAGGCUCAAAGGCCUUAUUUGAAGAUAUGACCUCUAAAAUGACAUCCAAAGCUCAUAACCCCCAUUAACACUCAUAAAGCUCAAGGGAAAAGGGCCUCUGGACCUCUUUGGGUCCAGAUCUACAGCACCAACAUGAGAGCGGACCAAUUACUCCAUAUAACCAUCCUCUAAAGGGGCUAAAACCAUAAACUGAAGAAGGGUCGAAUGAAUACCUCAAAAUGAAGUCUCUGAGCCCUGGAAUCACUAGAUUAGCACCCUCUUCAGCCUCCUCUUGUCUUGGUCCUCUUCUAUUUGCAAAAACACUAGCAAUGAUCAAGAAAUGGCUCCUUUCCUCUCACAAACGCUCUAGCUCACUUAGGGUUUCUCUCUGGGGUCUGGUAGCCGCAAAUGACGGCCAUAAAGCCCCUUAAAUAGGCCCCAAACUCGAGGAAUUAGGGUUUCAUUAAACAGCGUGGACUCGCCGAGUCCAUGGGGCGACUCGCCGAGACCAGCCAUCCACCCGGAUAAUGAUUCGCGUCUCUACUCGGCGAGUCUACGCAUCAACUCGCCGAGUUCUUCCACAAAACUUGAAAUUCAACGAAUAAAUAUAAUACCUGAAAUUUCGGAUGUUACAUUAAUUUUGUAUGUGACUGUGAGCCUAUCACAUUAUUAGAAAAAGCAUGUAAAAACAAUAGACUAAUGACCGAAACUAUCUGACACUUACUAGCGACGUUACUUUUUAAAACAAAAGAUAGCCAGAAAUUGCAUCCAUAUAGGCGUUUAGUGGAGAUUAUCGAUGUCAAACUAUGUUUUGGCUUAUCACUAGUUUUUUGCUAUUAGUGAUGGAAUCGAAAAGCAAGGGACUAUCCUAUCACUUUUAGAUCGCUAAAUAAGAUAUAUUUCGCUUCGGUCGCAAAGAUUUUCAAGGUAGUCCUUUUCUACCUUAAGCUCAUGACACUUGUAAUUUUUUCAUUGACGCUUCUAAACUCCAACUGAGCCAACUUUUCUUGAACUGGCAAAGGAAUUACAGGCUUAAACAAUUCCUUAUUGAAAUAAUGAGUUUUCCACACCAAGAGGAAUGGGGAUUAUCUCUUAUAUAUAUAAUAAAUAAAGAUACAUAUACACCCCUCAAGUAUACAACAAUGAAUAAAAGACUAUACCAAUAAAGAGCUAAUGUAAUAUCCCCCCUAAAGUGAAAGGAGGUGGACCAAGACGAAGCAUGCGACGAAACUGAUCAAACUGUGGCCGAGGUAGACUCUUAGUGAAGAUGUCAUCGACUUGAAGCUUGGUAGGAACAAACAUAGUGACCAGUUUACCUGAAGCAACAACCUCACGAACAAAAUGAUAGUCAAGAUCAAUAUGCUUAGCAUGAUUAUGAGCCACCCGGUUCUAGGUAAAGAAUAACGCACUUUGAUUAUCACAGAGAAGCGUGGGGAGAUCGGUGGGCAAGGCAUGUAGUUCCUGCGACAGAUGAGUGAUCCAAAUGAUCUUUGUAGACGUAUUAGUCAUGGCUCGAUAUUCGGACUCACAACUGGAGCGAGAGAUAGUAGGCUGCUUCUUCACACUACAGUACACAAGAUUACGCCCAGGGAAUAUCAAUUACCCAUAGGUGGAGCGGCGAGUCUCAAGGAAGCAAGCCCAAUCGACAUCAGAGUAGCUAACAAUCUUGACAGUCGGAGGACAUGAGAAAGUGAGACCAAAUGAGAGGGUUCCCUUGACAUAGCAAAUAAGUCGUUCAACAACUUGAAAAUGAGCAAUCGUCGAGGCAGCAAUAAACUGGCUAACUUGAUUACCAGCGUAAGAAAUAUUCGGUCUCGUAACCGUCAAAUAUUGAAUUGCACCAACCAAGGACCGAUAGCGAGUCAGAUCCUCAUAAAGAGGACUACCACUAACAAGGGAGGUGUUGGUAGCAAGGGGGUAAGCAUGGGCUUGGCAUCGAGAAGACCGGUUCACGAGACGAUGUCGUGAGCAUACUUUUCUUGACUGAGAAACAAGCCUGUGGGAUGAUGAGUAGCCUCAAGCCCAAGAAAGUAGUUCAAACGCCCGAGACCCUUAAUUCGAAAUUCUGCAUGCAGCCAAGCAAUGAAUGACAACACAAUAACAUCACCCAAGCUAGUGACAAUCAAAUCAUCAACAUACACUAACAAAUACAAGAUACACGAGUCCCGAUGAAACACGAAAAGAGAGGAAUCUGCACGACUCCAGGAAAAACCAUGAUGCACUAAAAACGAACUAAGUCGAUGAAACUACACAGUGGGGCCUGAUUAAGACCAUAAAUAGCUUUAUUGAGCUUACAAACAUAAUCAGGAUGACGGGCAUUCGCAAAACCUGGGGGUUGAUUCAUAAAGACAGUGUCACCCAAAUGGCAGUGGAGAAAGGUGUUAUUCAUGUCAAGUUGACGCAAAUGCUACCCGUUAACAAUCGCAAGAGUAAGAACAAUACGAACAGUAGCCACCUUGACAAAAGGACUGAAGGCGUGAGAAAAGUCAAGGUCCGAAACUUGACUGAACCCUUGAGCAACGAGAUGAGCCUUGUGACAUUCCACAGUCCCAUUGGCCCGAGAUUUGGUGCGAAAAAACCACCUGCAACCUACAAUAUUAGCCUGGGUAGGACGAGUAACAAGAGUCUAUGUCUGAUUAUGAUUAAAAGCCGCCAUCUCGGAACACAUCACUUCACACCAUUUAGGAUCACGUAAAGUGUUAUCAUAGGAUGAGGGAAUAUUAGUAGAAAAGACCUGUGAAAAAAAGCCAUGAGAAGUUAAAUGUGCCAAAUCAGUACAGUAUCGUGGCUUAAAAGUCUUGGCUUUAGCGUGUGUGGUCAUCGGAUGCGAAGGCGGGGGCAGACGGGAGGCCGGAGGCGUAUUGGGCUCGAAAUUAGACUCGAAGGCGGUGUCAGAAGCAGAACCAAUGGUUGGUUCCGAGUCAUACCCAAAAGGCGACUCGGACUCGGGUCCCGGUGAAGUAACAGCAACAGACUCAGAUGCAGGAGUCGCUACUGAGAGAGCUGGCGGAUCCGACUCCAUGCACACAAUACAAGGAGGAGGAGCAGCGAGUCCUGGGGUACUUGGAGAGGCCGGGACAGUGUCAUCAGGGACUGGAAUGGGGGGAGCUGAUCAACAAGAAAUGUGUGCAAGGGUAAGGACCCAAUAGGAGCAUUUGUGUGGGUGUCACGAAACAUGAAGCACUCUUCAUCAAACUAAGCAUGAGGGGUAACAAAAACCCGUGUCGAAACUGGAUCGAGACAUAAGUAGCCUUUAUAUUAAGAGUGAUAACCCAUAAAAACACAAGGUAUGCUCUGCGGAGAAAGUUUAUGAUCCGCAUAGUCAUAGAAAUAUGGAUAGACCUGACACCCAAAAAUGCAAAAAUUCUCAUAAGAUGGCACCCGUCCAAACAAGACCUCAAAUGAGGAUUUCAUGGACAACACCUCAUGGGGAGACGAUUAAUUACAUGCACGGCAGUGCUAAAAGCAUGAGCCCAAUAAGAAAUAAUUGGAAUGUGAGCGUGAAACAUCAUGGUGAGGCCUGUCUCCACAAUGUGACGAUCUUUGUGUUCAACCCGCUCGUUUUGUUGGGGGUAUAUGUGCAUGUGAUGCGAUGAAAUAUACCAUGUUUAUGUAAUAACGCCUUUACUUUAUUAUUUAGAAAUUCCGUACCCCUAUCACUUUGAAAACCUUUAAUUUUGGUAGAGAAUUGAGUCUCUAGAAAGGCGAUAGAUAUCUCGAAAAUGCUAAAAAAAUCCGAUUUAGACUUGAGCGGGUAAAGCCAUGUAAAGCGGGAGAAAUCGUCCAUAAAGGUGACAUAAUAUCGGUAUGAUGCAACCGAAUCAACCGGGGAGGGACCCCAAAUAUCACAAUAGAUCAAAUCUAAAACAUGGCCGGCACGUUGGUCAUUAUUGCCAAAAGGUACCUGAUGAGCCUUAGCAAGUUGGCAAGCAGAACAAAUAACCAGUUUAGGUAAAAUAAAAGAAACCAACACUUGAUCAAGUUUAUUAAUAUAGAAAUAACAUCAAAAGACACAUGCCCUAAACGUGAGUGCCAUAAUUGAAAAGACGCCUUGGGUCGCUUCUUAGCAAAAAAAAAAAGCACUAGCCACCGGUUUAUUUGGAACAACAUAAAGCCCCCGAUCACACAUUCCUUGAGCCAGAACUUAUUUCGUUGCCCGAUCCUAAAUGUAAAACAAAUAGUUGGAGAAAAGCACAUCUAGGUUAUUCUCAUAUGUUAACUUGCUAAUAGACAAUAAUUUUUUAGUAAGACGAGGGACCACCAAAACAUCCCGCAAUCGAAUACCGUUGGGAAGAGAGGAAGUCCUAAUAGCAGUAAUGGGAAGAGUAUUACCAUUACCGAAAUGAACUGAGCCAUCACCAACAAAAGUUUGGGGUUUAGUGACCGAGCACGAAGAAGAAAACAUGUGGUCCGAGGGACCGAAAUCAACAUACCAAUAUGGGCCAGGUGGGGUCACACAACAAUUUGCAAAGUGGGGUCACACAACAAUUUGCAAAGAAGGCUUUGGCUAAAUUGGCUUAACUAGGAGCGGACUUAGAAGCAAAUGUCGGAAGUUGUGGACAAGCAUUAGCAAAAUGACAGUUUUGUCGGCAUAGUUGGCAAUGGGGUGGCCGGUGGCCACGACCAUGACCACCACAAGGACCACCACGGCCAUCGGAGUCACCACCCCAACCCUGACUAGCAGAAACCGAGGCAGCAGCCCAGAUGGGCGCUGAUUCAGCAGUAAAGCCGACGGUGGGUGCGGAGUUCACGUAGAUGGAUUUCAUGAAGAGCUUAUGACCUUCGGUUUGAGCAAGGGGGUCCCAAAAAGUGUGAGUGAGCUGAGAGGUCCGAACUCCAAUGGAAAAAGCCUAAAAAGCGCCGCCAAGGCCACAUAAGAUAUCAUGAUUUUUAUUAGAUUUGUCAACGGCUUGGCCGAUAGCCGCAAGUUGAUCACAAAUCGCCUUAAAUUUCUGUCCAUAUUCGAAGACGGUAGAGGUGCCUUUAGAAAGAAGUCGAAGUUGAUCACAAAGAUUUUGUACCAGUUCCAUGGAAGAGUUUCAUAGGCUAAUUCAAAAGCGGUCCAUAUAGCACGAACGGAAGAGAGUCCCACGACCUCAAAAAAUGCUUCUUCCGUGAGGGAGACUUGAAGAAGGAUAACGACCCAUUGAUCCGUGACAUGCCAUUCCACAAAAGCAGGGUUCUCAACCUACUUUUCCUCAACCAAAUGGUAGGAAGGAGGGGUUGCAGAGGAGUCAUCAACGUGAGCAAGGAGAUGUUGAUAGGUGAGGAGGGGAAGGGAGGGGNUAUAUAUACCCUCAAGUAUACAACAAUGAAUAAAAGACUAUACAAAUAAAGAGCUAGUCUAAUACUUAUAAACUAUCCCAUUCACAAGUCGAAGCAUGUGAUCUGUGUCUGUCCUCUCGAUGGCCUCUAGCUCUUUGCUAUAUACAUUGGUUGUUUUCUUGAAUGGAAUUGUUGUUAAAAAAAACAAGUUGAAGCAUGUGAGAAUUGAACAUAAGACAACCAUUUGAAAUGCUUUUUUAUGCUUUUUUUUCAUGUCAUUUUGAAGUUGUGCACACUAAGGUGGAAUUUUAAGAAGCUAGAGAUGAGAUCCAGGUGAUGAUAAUAUCAAUUCUACAGCUUUUGUUACAAGAUAAGUGUUAUAACAUUUAUGUUGUUAAGACUAAAACCAUGAUUUAAUUUUAUAUCCGACAUUGUUUAUAUUAAUUAAUCUUAAAACUACGGAAUAAAAUGUGAAUAUUUAAUUUUGAUAAUUUUGAUUUUACUACAACAAUACCGACUAUCAACAAGAGACGAAUUAGUGAUGAAUGUAGCAUAAAUUCCCAUUAACCGAUUUUCAUAAGGAAUUUUUAUCGGAUUAGCGAUGAAAAUAUCAUUUUUAACGGUCUAAUUCUAUGAAGCGAUGAAGUUUUUGUGUAAAUUGGCUAUAUUUUUACAUAAAUUGUGAUUAUAUAUUGUCAAAAUUAUAAAAAUAUUGGUAAUAGUUAUUUAAGUUUCUUUAUUAAUAUAAAUAUAAAGUGGUUUGAAAAUGGUAAUGAAACAUUGAAAGUUAAUACGAUUUGGUAAGACAUUAUCCCUUAAGUUGGAGAAAUCAUGCUGGUAAUGGUAAUAGCAGCGACUUUUUCGACUUUUAGCGGCGACAAAAUGUCGCCGGUAUUGGUUUUGUGCGGAUAAAAGGACCAAUCGUUGGAUUAGAUACUCGAUUGAACAGCUAGGUCUAUCAGAAAGGGAUAAUGCGAAUUCGGGUGAAAAGUCUUUAGUGGCGACACAAUUACAGGCGACAUAGGAUUUUAGCGGCGACUCUACCAUUUGUCGCCUCUAAAAGCUUGUGUCACCGGUAAUUGUGUCAUCACUAAAGGCUUGGUUCUUGUAGUGACUUUGGCCGAAAAUCAACCAUAUACACGAUUAACAAAGUUUUCCCUAUCACUAACAUCAAAAGUUGCAUACCUCUUCUCCUCGGUCUUGAUCGAUUCAACUAUAAUGCAUUGUGAGAGCUUUUGCAUCACCCAUUGUAUUGUUUUCUAUGCUCUUAAUCACAUUGACGAAACCUACUAAGGAGUGACUCCUAAGCCUAUCAAUACAGAUUGGUGGAAGACAGACUCCAUUGAGAAACUUAGGAGGUAUGGGUGGAUAUCACCUGUUUGCUUCAGAUGGUGGUCACAAAAUAUUGUUUGGCCAUGGACAUGAGGAUCGACCUUCAAAACCUUUUUAUUUUUAACAAAUAAGCAAAGGAAAUCUAUGUCGAUAACAACUUGCAUAUUAUAACCACGUUAGACCUCAACGUGAACAACUACUUCUCUGAGAUCAUGACUACUUCCUUGAACACAUCGAUGAAAAGUUAAAUGUCGUCCCCAGUGCUCAGUUCAGAUGUAGUCUCUUCGCAUGACAAGUCCUGAUGAAAAAACUCGAGUUCUUGGAUCCUUCAUUACAAGCGUCUAAUUUGUAUGUCAUGUGUAUUGUGUAGAUCGGCUCUGCCAUUCUGUGGACUGCGUCCAUCACUGCAGUGAUUCCCAACACCACGAGCUUCUCCACACUGACAAACCAUUUGUUAAGUCAUUCUUAGGUUUUCUGUGAUACCAAAUGAUGCCUAGACGGUCAGAUUGAAUGGUAAAUUACAACUAACAAGAACACAAAGAACAAAAAGAUGACUCAAAAACUAAAUUCUUAAUUUGAUAAUAAAAAAAUUGUCUAAUAUAAAAUGAAAAUUAAAUACUUAUAAAGAGGAGAAGAUAAGAUUCGUUCCUUAACCCAUGAUAAGGAUAAGAUUCCCAAUCAAUUAUCUAAAUCAAAUCUCAAAAUAUAAAGUUGUAAAAAACAAAAAAAUGUGUUUUUGAGGCUCUAAAUGAUCCUGAAUGGCUAAAAAACACCACACAUCAUGGCAAAGCAAAAGAGUUAUCUUAAAUUUUAUCCAAUUCCGAAUUGUCAGAUCACUUUGGUAGAUUUUUCGUUGAUAUUAUCUUACUUCCAUUCCUACUAGUGUUGACAUCAUCAAGUCAUGCAUCAGCACUUGUACGCCUACAUGUCACACCUCCCUCGGCCAACGGCGUAAGCGCCGACGAUUGAUGGUUGUACAUAGAUUACCCAAAUCACAGAGUGCACACUAUAAAUACCUUUUAUUAAAUAAUGAUCUCUAUUACAUGGGAAAAAUAAAAACAUGUCCAUCUUCAAGCUGCUUGUCUUUCAUUGCGAUGAUUUCUUCUAUUUCUUAGGAAUACAUGCAAUUUCAAAAACGUCAACUUGAUGUUGGUGAGUUUAUAGGUUUAAUAGAUAUUGAUAAAGCAAUUUUUGAAAACUUUUUUGGAUCUUUAUUUAUGAAUAAGAGUAUUUUCUAAUUUAUAAGUUCCUAGGUUUUUUUUUUUUUUUUUUUAUUUUUUUUUAUUUCAGAGCUUCAUAAUCCUUUUAUUUCUUAAAACUUAUCUUUUGAGAUGUAUAAUCAAUCCUAAUGUUAUAUAUAUCUUUCUUUUUAGGAUAUUUUACUAAUCUUAUCUGAUCAAUAUAUUUCUAGGAUAUUCUGUCAAUCCUAACAUAAAUAUUUUAUAGGAUAUUUUACCAAUCCUAAUUUAUUAUAAUAUGUUUUAGGAUAUUUACCAAUCCUAACUUAUCAAUAUAAUAUAAUAUUCACUAGUCGGAGGCGUCCGUCUAGGUAGUUGACUUCCUUAAGGUUUUUGGGUUGUAUUACCAUAAGCCUCCAUAAUCGACGUUGUGGACUAAUAUUUUCCCCGCACGACGAUUCAUGGGACGUCGAAUAAUGCUUGUAUAUAAAAAAAGUUAUCAUGUCGGGAUUGUAGUUCGCAUGUUGGGGAGUCAUCCCCGUAUACAUCUAUGCAUAUCUUUCCGGCUCUCACAAAAUUAAUGAUUAUAUGUUGGGGGUAGCCGAAUUUAACCACGCUAAGAAUGAAUAUUAUAAGCUCACUAACAUAUUAACCUUAGGUGUUUUUAUGCUUUCGUUAACUAUUUUAUAAAAUCUUUAAUUAUCGGUAUAUAAUCUUUUUACUUUAUAUAUGAUAAUUAAAAUCCAUAUCUCAUAAUUAUCUUUGUAUACAUAUAUUUUCUUUUACCAUAUAUAUAUACCCUAAUUAUGAUUAAUUUAAGCAACAAGAUAUUCGGGCAGAGUAACAAUUAAGUACAAUGCAUAUCCAUUUAAUUGACCAACAUUACUUCUAGAUACUAUGUUAUCCUAGGAAAUUGGCCAGGAUAACAUCUAGGUAAAAUAUUUUCCUCGAAAAUCAGACAUCAUGACUUUUAGACAAAAUAUCAUAGCUUACANNNNNNNNNNNNNNNNNNNNNNNNNNNNNNNNNNNNNNNNNNNNNNNNNNNNNNNNNNNNNNNNNNNNNNNNNNNNNNNNNNNNNNNNNNNNNNNNNNNNAGAAAUGAAAGUGCAUUGCUAUUAUCAAUAAAGAUAUGUAUCACAUAUUGCUAUUGUUGGUAAAAAUGAAGUACUCUAUUUAUAAUAAAUAUAUCUAUCAUGUUGCAAGAACAUUAUUUAUGUUUCAGAAAAGUGCUUGAAAUCUGGAACUUCAACACGGUUGAGUUUAAGGCAAAGGAAUCACUCUCCCUCCCUUUGGAGUACCCUCAAAAAAUGACAAAAUAAUAAUAUAAAAGUAGGUCAAAUUCUUUUAAUCAAAUAAUAUAUACAUGCUCGAAGAGUUCCAUAAAGAUCAUAUGGCUUUUAUUCCUUCUUUAAAUGACACCUCUUGCAAUUUUAAUGAUACAUGUGGACGUUAUUUCAAUUUUAAGAAUUUAAUGCAUGGGUAAAUUCAAGAAAAAAUAAUAAACUUUCAUUGAUUUAUGUAUUAUAUUGCCUUACAUUCAUUCUUUCUAUUACAGCGUUGCACCUGAGCACCUCUAUCAUUUGUUUUUAAGGCUAUAUAAAAUAAUCUACGAAAUUAGAGCAUUAUACUUUCGGUUACUUUUCUUAUUCACGUUUCUUAUUUAGACAUUAUAUUGACACUCGGCCAAUGGAAAAUGAUUCUCAUAGUAACUAAUUAAUUCCUUAUUACAAAGAGUACAUCUGGUUAAUUCAAAAAUAGCAAUGUAUUUGAGUUGGUUUGAUUAUCAUAGCAUCCUACUUUUGUUUUUUCUUAUUACACCAUUCAACUUUGAAAGUACGACGCUAUAGUUGGGUAGAUUUUUCAAAAGACAACAUCUUGAUAUAAAUGGAAUUACAAUGACACAUAAAACUUGACAAUAUAAAGUGAUACUCACAAUUUGAGGUCCAUGCCAUCAAGAUCAACAUUUAAGCUAUGAAAUACCACAACGAAUAUUAACAUUUUUCAAUUAUCGAAACAAAAUGAGUUGGCAUUUCUAAGGUGUACUAGCCAUAUAUGAUUAUGGUGGUUGGUGACAGAAAAGGUAGUCAUGGCAGAGGUGAUGGAGAUGGUAGUCCUGAAGUCGGUUGAUGGUGAAGGUGGUAGUGGUGGUGAUGGGUGGUGGCUGGUGUGUUGGUUGGGAAGGUGGUGUGGGAGAAUGGAGGUGGUGGCAUUGCAUAAUCAUAUAUGAAUAUACCUAUCCCGUCAANNNNNNNNNNNNNNNNNNNNNNNNNNNNNNNNNNNNNNNNNNNNNNNNNNNNNNNNNNNNNNNNNNNNNNNNNNNNNNNNNNNNNNNNNNNNNNNNNNNNNNNNNNNNNNNNNNNNNNNNNNNNNNNNNNNNNNNNNNNNNNNNNNNNNNNNNNNNNNNNNNNNNNNNNNNNNNNNNNNNNNNNNNNNNNNNNNNNNNNNNNNNNNNNNNNNNNNNNNNNNNNNNNNNNNNNNNNNNNNNNNNNNNNNNNNNNNNNNNNNNNNNNNNNNNNNNNNNNNNNNNNNNNNNNNNNNNNNNNNNNNNNNNNNNNNNNNNNNNNNNNNNNNNNNNNNNNNNNNNNNNNNNNNNNNNNNNNNNNNNNNNNNNNNNNNNNNNNNNNNNNNNNNNNNNNNNNNNNNNNNNNNNNNNNNNNNNNNNNNNNNNNNNNNNNNNNNNNNNNNNNNNNNNNNNNNNNNNNNNNNNNNNNNNNNNNNNNNNNNNNNNNNNNNNNNNNNACAGAGAAUAUAUAUAUAUAUAUAUAUAUAUAUAUAUAUAUAUAUAUAUAUAUAUAUAUAUAUAGGGAGAGAAAGAGAGAGAGGUUUCAUGUAUUCUAACUAUCUAUCAUAUGGACGUAAGAACCAAUCAAAUUUUAAGAAAAAUUAAACUAAUAAUCUAAGGGUAUAAUGGUAAUUUUAAUUAUAAUCUAAGGGUAUUCACUUAUGACAAAUAUCAUCGCUGUUUUUCACAUAUAAAACACAUCGGGUCGAUUGUUUAACCCCAUGCCAUCUCUUUCUCGAUCCUAACACACCCACAAUCGUGUGAGUUUGUCCCCUUCGCCAACUUCAUCACAGUUGCUGAAACCCUAAGUUGUCAACGGAAACUAAUGCCAUCAUACCAUCUCUAUCAAAAGCUCCAUCAAACUUCGCAACCAUGAUCAAAUAGUUGUUGUCGUUUUCGCCUGCUAACAUCCUCUUCACUGCUAACAUCCUCAUCACAGUCGUUGAUGGAACCCUAAGCUUCGGGUUUGUCUUUUUCCAUUUUAGUUUUUUUUUUAUUAUCAUCUUCAGUUUCAUCCCACCUUAAUCGGAAACUAAGAUUCAAGUUCAUCUGAUGAAAAUUCUAUUAUAUGUAGAAAUCCAAAAAUUGUGUGCCAUAAGUAGGAGAUACAAUUGUUAUGGGAUCAAUUGAUUAUGGUUUUUUUCCAUUGUUAUUUUUUUAUUUGAAAAGAAAAGGGAUUAUUACAAAAAAAAUUAAAAAUAUUUUUUAAGAUUUUUAUUCUUUUGAUUUUAGUUCUUACUUGUAUUUUAAGUUCAUUAGAAUAAAACUGUAAACAGAUUCUAAAAAAAUAUAUAUUAACAUUUUACUAUUAUAAUAUUAUGUUGUUCGUCUCAUUAUGGGAGAAUAAUCAAAGAAUUAUCUCAUAUUCCUUUUUACUCGACAAAACCACAAGCUUUCAAGAUACACGAUUCUUUACUAGUAUAUGGUUGUCAUUCUCACAGAACAUCAUUCUAACAGAAUAAAAUCAGUUAUGUUUACAAAUUACGUUAGAAUUGUAAUUGAACUAAUUUUUAAAUAGCUGUUUUGUAAUUUAAUAGAAUUACUUAUCCCCUAAAAUCCAGAAAAUAGGUAUGUGACUUUUGAUGUUAGUGAUAUGGAAAACUUUGUUAAUCGUGUAUAUGGUUGAUUUUCGGCCAUAGUCACUACAAGAAACCAAGCCUUUAUCGGCGACACAAUUACUGGCGACACAAAGCUUUUAGCGGCGACAAAUGGUAGAGUCGCCGCUAAAAGACUAUGUCGUCGGUAAUUGUGUCGUCGCUAAACACUUUUUACCCGAAUCCAAGUUAUCCACUUCUGAUAGACCUCGGCUGUUCGAUCGAGUAUCUAAUCCAACGAUUGGGCCUUUUAUCCGCACAAAACCAAUACCGGCGACAUUUUGUUGCCGCUAAAAGUCGAAAAAGUCGCUGCUAGUAGUGGUCUAAAAAAAGAUGCGGUACCCUUCCCUCCAGAUAGUCGCCGCUGUUAACGUGUGUCACCGGUAAAGCCUACAUAGUCGCCGCUCAGUAACGGAGCUUGAACAUUCGAGUUGGGGGGCCAAAAGUAAAAUACGUAGAAAAAGUGGAGAAUAAGGGGGGCCACAGUCAAUUUUUUUAGUUUAAGGUCUAAUAUGUAAAAAUUUUAAAAGUAAAGGGACUAGCUCUGAAAAAAAAAACAGGGGGGGGGGGGGGGGGGCACAACCCNCCCAUGUCCUAAUGAAGAUCCGUCUAUGUCGCCGCUGAAGGCUAUCGCAGAUAAAAAAAAAAAACGGAUGCAUUCUGCUCUUUUGCUUCCUGUGUUCGAUCAAAACGUUACUGCUCCUUCUUGCCCCAUUUUCUGCGAUCGAUUCCAGCGAUUCUAACAAGAAAUCUCCCCACGUUGUGAGAUUAGGGAUCAAAGGUGUUUAGGGUUUCAAUUAAACGGGUUAACUCAUGAUUUCUAGCUCCAUCUCGGGAAAAAAGGUAACUUGAAGUUCUUAUAUCUCUUUGUUUUUCUAUGUUAACUUCGAUUUCUAGCUCGAUGAUUAAUUGCAAAUUAUUUUUCAAUUUUAGUGGUUUUGGUGGUUUUGUCUUUGGGUUGACGGGUGAGGGUGUUUUCCGGUCAAGACCAAUUUUUCCGGCGACACUAUUACCGGCAACCAAAAUCGUUGAUUAAAAAAAAAUUAUUAAAAAAUGAAAAUUGUUAUUACCGGCGACACUAUUACCGGCGACUUCAUCAUUACCGACAGCUAUGUCAUUAGCAGCGACUGUAGUCUUUAGCAGCAACAUACUCAUUAGCGGCGACAAUUCUCUUUAGCGGCGACAAGUUGAUUAAUAGCGACGAAGUAGUAGCAGCGAUUUAUUACCGGCGGCGUGUCGCCGCUAUUAUCAUUACCGGCGACAAUGAGACCCUUUAGCGGCGACUUUUGUCGCCGCUAAUUGCCUUUUUCCUUGUAGUGAGUCUUGACCUUAGAGAAGUAAUUGUUCAUGUUGAGGUCUCCCAUGGUGAUAACAUGGAACUCGUUAUCGGCUUGAGUUUCCUUCACUUCUUUUUUAAAGAAAAAAAGGUUUUGAAGGCCGAUCCACAUGUCUCUGGCCAAACAAUCAUUUGUGAGCAACAUUUGAAGCAAAACGGGUGAUAUCGAGGUCGAGGAUAAGAGGUAUGCAACUUUUGAUGUUAGUGAUCUGGAACACUUUGGUGAUCGUGUUUGUGGUUGAUUUUCAGUUAUGGUGGCCGAGGGGCAGAGGACAUUCAAAUAGAAUAGGUCAAAAGGAGAUUAGGUAAAAAAAAGAUUAUAUAGGAAGGAAAUAUGGAUAAGAUACGCUCUGAUACCUUGUUAAUCUUGUAAUCUGAUUGCCAAGAAUAAUACAAACAUUUAUACAAAAUACAAACAAGGGAAAGAGGUUGUACGUUAAACAAAAACGAUGGGUUCUAGGAGAGCCCAAUACAACUAUACAUACAUAUACUCUAACACAUAAAGGUCUUCCAAAGACCAAUAAGGAGGCAUUCCUAUCUUUACAUACCAAACUUGAUUUUACUAGAAUUUCGUCAUCUAUUCCACCAAGCUUAUGAACCAGUUGUUCCAAGUCUUGAACACAUUCCUAUUUUAGUUUAAUUCAUGUUCUUUACAUUAAAGUUCUAGCAUAACAAAUAUACGCCUUAUAUACGAAAUUGACACAUCAUGUUCCUUAAGCCACUAUGAACUCAUACAUAUUUUUCAACAAGUCGGACGAUUUAACUUCGCCCAGAACACAUAUUUCACUUAAUUUUUUGUCGGAGUAUGUGUGGUUGUUAAUCAUCGGCAUGAGUUUCUUUGAAGCUCCGCCCUUGCCCUAAACAUCAUUGUCACUAUGUUUUUUUAUAGUUUCUUUUAAGCCCGUCGGCAUCAGUCACCCCUCCUUCCUUUCUUUCAUCAUCAUGACGCUUCUCGAAUUUUUAGGCUUUAUAAUGAUACUUUUCAAAUUCUUAUCAACCCUCCCAUCAUUUAAGUUACUUUUAUACAUUUACGCGAAACUUGAAGGAUCCCAACCAAAUGGCAUUCAACUUCUCUUCAAACAUCAUGAUCUUGCUCAACCCCAUGAAUCUCACGAAGCCGAUUUUUUUUAAUAAAAUUAUUUUCCUUGUUAUGAAAACAUCAACGAUGUUCCCAAUCCCUCUAAAAAGUUUUCCACAAGAUGAAUUUUGUGCAAUCUUCGGGAAAGUUUGUGAAGAAGAAGGUAACUAGUUUGUUUCUAAUGGAAUCAUUGAUCACGAUUGGGAGCCUACAUGAGACUCGUACUCCACCGACGUUUCAUUAUUUUACAACAUUUAAAUGCAUACGUUACUAUUAUUUUUCUUACGAGACUUCAUAAAUUUUUAUUUUUAAAUACAUUCUAAAAGGAAAAUUUAGUGAUUGAUAUGUUUAAUGCAUCAUUUUUUUUUUUGUGAUUGAUAUGUUUAAUGCAUCAUUUCUUUUUUCAAUAUCAUCCUUUGAUUUUGACAUUUAUCAUGAUUUAGUGAGUAUGAGGAUAAAUAAGAGAAUUGAGUACGUAUGAAAAUAUUGAACAUCUGAUUCUAAAAUAGUAAAUAAGUUUUCAUUUAUCACAUAGACACAAAGUUUAUUUAUUCUCAUUCAUUUUUUACAACUUUCGUACUUAAAAUGCUUAAGUGAUAAUGUCUUACCAAAUCUUAUUAACUUUCAAUGUUUUAUUACCAUUUUCAAACCACUUUAUGUCAAUAUUAAUAAAGAACCUUCAAUAACUAUUACCAAUGUUUUUAUGCUACAUUCAUCACUAAUUCGUCUCUUUUUGAUAGUCGGUAUUGUUGUAGUAAAAUAAAAAUUAUCAAAAUUAAAUAUUCACAUUUUAUUUUGUAGUUUUAAGAUGUAAUUAAUAUCAACAAUGUGAGAUAUAAAAUUAAAUCAUGGUUUUCGUCUUAACAACAUAAAUGUUAUAACACUUAUCUUGUAACAAAAGCUGUAGAAUUGAAAUUAUCAUCGUCUGUAUCUCAUCUCUAAGCUUCUUAAAAUUCCACCUUAGUGUGCACAACUUCAAAACGACAUGAAAAAAAGCAUAAAAUAAAGCAUUUCAAAUGGUUGUCUUAUGUUCAAUUCUCACAUGCUUCAACUCGCUUUUUUUAACAACAAUUCCAUUCAAGAAAACAAGCAAUAUAUAUAGCAAAGAGCUAGAGGGAUCGAGAGGAGAGACACAGAUCACAUGCUUCAACUUGUGAAUGGGAUACUUUAUAAGUAUUAGACUAGCUCUUUAUUUGUAUAGUCUUUUAUUCNNNNNNNNNNNNNNNNNNNNNNNNNNNNNNNNNNNNNNNNNNNNNNNNNNNNNNNNNNNNNNNNNNNNNNNNNNNNNNNNNNNNNNNNNNNNNNNNNNNNAAUUUAUUGAUAGUUUUUGGAAGCCUCGGUUUUAAUUCAUCUUAUAUUACUUUUAAUUAUAUUUCGGAUGACAUUUAAUUCUUUCUCUUCAAGUAAUGUAUGGUAAAGGUGACAAAGAGGAUGGAUGCAGCAACAUCCGUUUAAUCAACACUUCAACACUUUUCUCCCGUUUCAUCAUUUAACUAAUUUUUUUAGAAGACUUCACAUUAAACCCUACUCUUAAACCAUAUUUGAACCAUCAACCUGUUAUUGAAAUUUCCCCAUUAACCUAUCUAUCCGGAUUCACAGAGUACAAUAUAUCUUUAUUUGUAAUAGGAUU
Molecule: long non-coding RNA, 45916 nt
Filed under: Lactuca sativa (garden lettuce)
Lineage: Eukaryota; Viridiplantae; Streptophyta; Magnoliopsida; Asterales; Asteraceae
Description: long non-coding RNA (LSAT_LNC007546)
Source: RNAcentral